Molecule: long non-coding RNA, 45553 nt
Filed under: Setaria viridis
Lineage: Eukaryota; Viridiplantae; Streptophyta; Magnoliopsida; Poales; Poaceae
Description: long non-coding RNA (SVIR_LNC007217)
Source: RNAcentral
CUCACAAUUAAUCCGAUUACACACGAGCUUCUCUCCCUGGCCAAGACACAACCAUAGUAUGAUGAAGAACAUGGCACUAGCCGGCAAUGGUAUGAAGAAGUUAAUCCUCGCUGUUCUCUUACUGUGUCUAGUUAUAGGGCAGAUACAAGUGGAAGCUAAGAGCUGCUGCCCAUCCACCACUGCAAGAAAUGUCUACAAUACCUGCCGUUUCACGGGUACAUCCCGUCCAACGUGUGCAAAACUGUCAGGCUGCAAAAUUAUCAGCGGGAACAAAUGCAAGCCCCCUAACGACCACCUCACCCUUGACCCGGACACUGGUAAAUAAUAAAUUUAUCUCACUUGAUUUCUUCGUGAUUUGAGUCGUUAAUGUAUUUUCCAUCUGAUGAAACGUAUUGGUUUUGCAUUGAAGAGGAAGUUAAUGUGCUUAACUUCUGCAAGUUGGGGUGUGCGUCGUCUGUGUGCAACAACAUCAACGCUGGUAAGCAACUUUUGCUCAGACAGAGAAAACAAUAAUCAUUAAUUAGCGGCAGCUAGAAUCCUAUAAUCUAAUAUAUAUAUAUAUAUAUAAUUUUAUCAGCUCUGGGAAAUGAAGAGGCGAACGAUGCCGUUGAGAGUUGCGACCAAGCCUGCUCUAGCUUCUGCAGCGUGCAUGUUGGCAGCGCCACCGUGGUUGCUUAAGCAAAUGCAUCCAACUAGAUCGUCCUUGUGCUGAAUAAUUGGAUAUCGUAUCCACUUAAAGCUGCCUUGUGUAGUACGUCUUUGUGUCUCUCUUUAUAUUCCAAUAAGGUCGGUGAUCUUGAUGCCACACACUCAGAUGUGUGUUCAUCUCCAGAUACUACUCCAUGCUACCUGCCCUUUGUGUUUUGUUCAAUAACUGGGUAUCAUAUCCCAGCCAGUAUGCCGUCUGUUUUGUGUUUGUUUCCUUCUAGUUCCAAAGGGGUCAUCAUGAUGUUACCUUCUUUCAAUAUGGUGCUUUGCAUGACUACUGUUGUAUGGUACCAUCUUGUGGCCAAUAAGUACAUCUUAUCCUAUGACCUUUGCUAUGACCCUUUGCAAAUAAGUAGAAGAUUGUUAUAAGCGUCAAUACUCCGUAUAAAUUGAUCGCUGCUGUGAGUUCCCUUUCAGCUUAUCGUAGGCAUACAUUAUUGCUAGCACGGUAAAGCCAACCAACACGAAUGAUGAAGUAAACGUAGCGGUACUUCUGUAUACCAACACCCUUACUUAAAUGUACCGGUGUCAUUCCCUACUGGCACAUAUAUUCUUAUAUGCUAGCCAGCUUGUAAAAUUAACCAAUUAAAAUAAUUAUUUCAAGAUAGAAAUAACUUAUCGGUUUCUGGAAGCAUGUGUAAUGUGAAUUCAAGGACUCGACGGAAGUUGAAUCACUUCAUCUAUAUUGCUUUCAGUAUUUUGGGUAACUAAAUUUAACAUUUGCACAUACAAAUGUUAAAGUACAAAUGUUAAAUCUAGUUACCCAAGCAGAAUAUGAAGAUAGUUUAUAGUAUAUAUAUACUAUAUAAAUCUAGUUAACAUUUAGUCUAAAUGUUAAAUCUAGUUACCUAAAAUCCUGAAAGCAAAAUGUAUAAAUAUAUAUCUUUUAAGGCAGUAUAAGCUUCGAUUCCUAUUGCUGCUCUGUUAAAUCUCAUCUUUCGUUGUGGCCCAACACUCUAGUAUGCAUGUUGCACCAAGCUUCUUUGAGCCGCUCUGCCCUCUGAUUUUGCUGCGUAGGGGAAUCUUUAUCAGGUUGGGCUACUUCCAGUUGUGCGAUGUAAAGAUUCGUAUUUUCUAGAAGGUAGACAAAAAACUCGCGUUCUCUUAAGGCAACAACCGGAAGAUUCUGCAGCGCACAGGGCAUACCAUUAUUGUAGAAACGACCUUUAGUACCGAUCUCCAACCCCCUUUAAAACUGGUUUUGCAACCGGUACCGUUAUGUCGGUCCUUUAGUACCAGAUCAAAUAAGUACCGGUUGGUAACCAGUAUCAACUUGUUUUGCGGCCAAAAAAAUAAAGAAAAAAACAGUCAGAAGGCUCGCACACACGCGCAUCACAUGAAAUAUGCGUGUGCGGGGUCCAUGGGAUUCGAACCCAUGAAAUCAAGCUGCACGCGACCCUUCGUUACCAUCUCACCUACAUAGCGCAUAUGCUUUCCUGAAGUAACCCGUGGAGGAGGCUUUAGUACCGGGUCAUAACACCACCCGGUACUAAAAAUGACUCUUCAGUACCGGGUCAUAACACCACCUGAUACUAGUAUCGGAUGGUGUAAUGACCCGAUACUAAAAGGCCUCUAGGGACCCUCAAAUUUGAACCCGGUACUAAUGCUAAUAUUAGUAGCGGGUCAAAGUGCAGCCAGAACUAAAGCAUGGGAUGAAAGGUCAUAUUUCUAGUAGUGUAUAGUUGUUGUGAAGGACUGACUUGGCUGUCCUCUCUCUUCUCCAUCCCCUUGGUCUUACGCCGCCGCUCGCACGCGAGCCGGUGCCCAACCAGAGGAGUGAGAGCUAGGGGCAGGUUGGGAGGUGGGGAUAGUGACUGGUGGCCAGGGUGAUGGUUGAUCCUGGUGGGGUUAGGGUUUCAGGGUUUUCGAGCUUCCUAUGGUCGGCGAACCUAGAGGAGAAGCUCAACAUCAGCUGCAACCCGCGAUGGUGGUGGUUUGGCCGGCGCCCGAGGCGAGGCAGCGCGGGAGUGCUGCCGGUGGGUUGGUGUUGGCACUCAUUAUUGACAACUAUUUUGUUCAUAAAAUAACACUCAAACUUGCUGCUGCUGCUGCUGCCAUCGCCACCCUAGCCAUAAUAUAAAGGCAAAAUUUGCUAAAGGACAUGCAAAAUGAUGCUAGUUUGCUGGCGGGCAUCGUUGACCUUGUAAUAUGCUACAAGACACUCUAGUUGUGUAUCAAUUUGCUGAAAGACAUUGCUAUGACUAAAAUAAUGUUUCUGGACUGAGUUGGAGAGAGAGAUGGAGUGAAAUGUCUGUUUUGCCCAUGACCCCACUGGUCAGAUCCUUCUUCUUCCACCCUCCUUUGUUCUUUCUUCAACCAUUACCCAGCUCCAGCGUGUUGCAGAUCUACGAGGGUGGCGGCCUGGGGCGAGGGGCAUCGCUCGCCCUUGGAGGAGCGCUGCGAGCGACGGCGCGGGGGCGGCAACAGCGCGUCAGAACCUGACUGUUCGUUAGCUCCUCUCGCUGCUGGGGAAGAAGGAGGGGGAUGGGCCAUGGACGGGGUUCCCUUGAAAACCUCAGCGUCGAGCUCGGGCGGCUACGCGCAGGCAGCACUAGGCUGCUUCACGGGGAGGGGGCGCGGCCAAUCAUUGGCACCCCACUGGUCCAAUGCUGAUGAAGAUGGUGCCAGCGUCGUGUGAGGACAUCUCAUCUCCUCGAGUUCCAUGGCCAGCACAGGUGAGCUGCCGCUACCACAAAACAGAGGUUUCGUGAGAGUCAAAAAACCUUAUGAAAAUAGCUAAAACCAUCAUGAAAAUAAUCCGUGACAUGACACUCUCACGAAAAUCCUCUCACAAAUAUGGUGCCAUGAAAAUACCAUUUUCAUGAGAGUGAACUGUCAUGAUUUUAUAAGCGUCAAUACUCGGUAUAAAUUGACUACUGCUGUGAGUUCCCUUUCAGCUUAUCGUAGGCAUACAUUAUUGCUAGCACGGUAAAGAGAACCAACACGAAUGAUGAAGUAAACGUAGCGGAACUUUUGUAUACCAACACCCUUACGUACCGGUGUCAUUCCCCACUGCCACAUAUAUUCUUAUAUGCUAACCAGCUUUGAAAAUUAAGCGAUUAAAAUAAUUAUUUCAAGAUAGAAAUAACUUAUCGGCUUCUCGAAGCUUGUGUAAUGUGAAUUCAAGGACUCGAUGGAAGUUGAAUCGCUUCAUCUAGAUUGCUUUCAGGAUUUUGGGUAACUAAAUUUAACAUUUGCACACACAAAUGUUAAUGUACAAAUGUUAAAUCUAGUUACCCAAGCAGAAUAUGAAGAUACUCUAUAGUAUAUAUGUACUAUAUAAAUCUAGUAAACAUUUAGUCUAAAUGUUAAAUCUAGUUACCUAAAAUCCUAAAAGCAAAAUGUAUAAAUAUAUAUCUUUUAAGGCAGUAUAAGCUUCAAUUCUCUGUUAAAUCUCAUCUUUCGUUGUGGCCCAACACUCUAGUAUGCAUGUUGCACCAAGCUUCUUUGAGCCGCUCUGCCCUCUGAUUUUGCUGCGUAGGGGAAUCUUUAUCAGGUUGGGCUACUUCCAGUUGUGCGAUGUAAAGCUUCGUAUCUUUUAGAAGGUAGACAAAAUACCCGCGUUCUGGAAGAUUCUGCAACGUGCACGUUGGCGCUGCCACCGUGGUUGCUUAAGCAAAUGCAUCCAACUGAAUCGUCCUUAAGCUGAAUAAUUGGAUAUGGUAUCCACUGCUUAAAGCUGCCAUGUUUAGUACGUCUUUGUUUUUCUCUCUUUAUAUUCCAAUAAGGUCGGUGAUCUUGAUGCCACACACUCAGAUGUGUGUUUAUCUCCAGAUACUACUCCAUGCUACCUACCCUUUGUGUUUUGUUCAAUAACUGGGUAUCAUAUCCUAGCCAGUGUGCCAUCUGUUUUGUGUUUGUUUCCUUCUAGUUCCAAAGGGGUCAUCAUGAUGUUACCUUCUUUUGAGGUGUCUAUGAUGACUUCGUUAAUAUCAAUAUUAACCAAUUCAAUCUGUCUUAACUAUUUGUAAGGGGUAUGAUGUAUGCAUGAUUAUAACAAUGAUUGCGCAUACAAUCGCCGCCAAAGAAACGGUCAAUACCAUUAAGACAUAUUACAGACAAUUCUCAUAAUCUAUAAUGAAUAUACAUAUUCACUACUGCAGAAGACUGUCAUUUGUAUCGGCUCAUACGUGCCAGGGCAAAGGUCACCCUUGCAUUAAGUACAUUUGCACGGUAAAGACAACCAACACGAAUAAUGAAGUAAACAUGCCGGUGCUUUUGUACACCAACACGCUUACUUAAAUGUACUGGUGUCAUUCCUCACCGGUAGCCGGCUUGAAAAUUAACCAAUUAGAACAAUUAUUUAUUGUAUCGGUGUGAUUUUUGACCUAUUGGAAUAUGAAUUUGACCGUUACUGCAUUCGUCAAGACUCAAGAGAGAAAUAACUGAUCGGCUUCUUAGAGCGUGUGCAAUGUGAAAUCAAGGACUGGAUGGAAGUUGAAGCGCUAGCACUAGUAGAGAAACGACUUUCCAUCCACCCCCUUUUGUCCCGGUUUAAAGUUGGCUCGGGAUAAAAGGUUCACCAACCGGGACUAAAACUCAGUCACUGGUGGGAGGCUCACCAACCGGAACCUUUUAUCCCGGUUGCAAAGGCUAAUGGGAAAAAAAGACUCUGAGAGGCCUUUUAUCCCGGUUUGAAACACCAACCGGGAUAAAAGACCCCCCUUUUAUCCCGGUUGGUAACACCAACCGAGAUAAAAGGGUCAAGAGCCUUUUAUCCCGGUUGGAAACACCAACCGGGAUAAAAGACCCCCUUUUAUCCCGGUUGGUGUUUCAAACCGGGAUAAAAGGGCCCCCACGAGGUGACUGGAAGGUGACUGGAAGGGGAUUAAAUCGUGGGGGACCCUUUUAUCCCGGUUGGAAACACCAACCGGGAUAAAAGGGGGUCUUUUAUCCCGGUUGGUGUUUCCAACCGGGAUAAAAGGGUCCCCCACGAGUUAAUACAAAAGGAUAGUAUCCCCUACAUAGUCAGAUGUGGUGUGUAGGUGGGAUGGUAAGGAAGCUACGCGCGAGCUCCGGAAUUUUUUUUUUUUUUUUUUGCAGCGUCGGCGCUCUCUACCCUUUUAUCCCGGUUGGUAUUACCAACCGGGAUAAAAGGGGGUCUUUUGUCCCGGUUGAGUGACCCGGGAUAAAAGACCCCCCCUUUUUUCCCCGGUUAGUUUAUCCCGGAUGCAUUUUCGGGAUAAAAGCACCCUACCAACCGGGAUUAAAGCUCACUUCUCUACCAGUGUAGCUUCAUCUUCCGCUGCAAGUUAAUUGCUUGGAUAAGAAGUUGUAGCCGCUGCAAGUUAUAAAUAGUCCCGCUGAUGCUGUGCUCCGAAGUCUAUACUAUAUAUGCGGAAACUAGAUUGCUUUCAGGAUUUUGGGUAACUAAAUUUAACAUUUGUACAUAAAAAUGUUAGUUUACGAAUGUUAAAUCUAGUUACCCAAGCAGAACAAGAAGAUAGUAUAUAGUAUAUACUAUAUAAAUCAAGUUAACAAUUAGUCUAAAUGUUAUAUCUACUUACCCAAAAUAUUGAAAGCAAAGAAAGAAUAAGUAUAUAUCUUUUGUUGGAAAAUUGGUCCACGGAGAGGCCCAUUUAGGCCUCGUUCGUUUCACCGGGAUGGGAUUCCAGUCAGGAUUACUUCCAAGUUCGGUUUGAGUGAUUCCACCCGUGUCACUCAAUCCGGCUAGGAUUCAUUCUAUGGGUGAGGAGGUAUGGUUUCAAUCCAGGCCAUCUAAUGUAGAAGGAUUCCAAUCCAGGCCGGUUUUCGUUCCAGGCCAGACUAAAACGAACAACACUUUCAAUGCAAGUCUGGUUUCAAACCGGGCCAUUUCAAACCACCCGGAAUGGACCUCGUUCCAGGCCAAUCCGGUGAAAACAAAUGAGGCCUUAAUGGAAUCCCAAAGCAAGAGUUCAGUGGCAUUCUAUAGUCCCAUGCUGCUAGUUUGAGUUGGUCGAAGCCAACUUAAAUAGGAGAGCUCUCUCACUUCUCUAAAUACGUAACUGAAGGAGAGAAGGGGGCUUGGGUUACACAACGCACGCACGCACGCAUAUUUGCGUUCUUUUCGCGUAACCAACCGCGUGACUUGAAACUUGCGACGUAGCGUGCUGCUAAGUCAAGUUGAUAUAACCUUUUUGCCGUUUGCAUGUAAUCUUUUGACAACGGUCAUUGGAGGUGAUAAGCACGCAGUCAAUACCUUAAUCUUGAGUUAAUAGGGUGGUUACUACUGCCAAUUAGUGGGGCAAUUUUGUAGGGGAAACGGUUAGCAGAGGGCUACCGUCUUCUCUAUAAGAAGUUCUGGAGACGUCCAGGAACACACAUGUACAUGUGAGAGACCCACAAAUUCCUUCCCUUCUCCCUUUUCCAUGUGGUGAAGUGUGCUGUGGUACUGAGCUGCUUGAUCUCGCCGCUCUUCUCCUUGGCAUGCACCGAGGAGGAGGGUGAGCGGUAUCUCCGAGCUAUUGCCGUCAGGAAGCCUGCACGAGGGACAACAAAAAGUUUUUGGGUAGCGCAACUGCCAGCACAACUCUCCCUCCGCCUCUUCUUCACGGUUGAUGGCCACCACAAGCAUAAACCUCGCCUUCGCAUCCACGCAAAAGGGUCGCUGGGGUGCCUUCUUGCAUCGCUUCUCAGCCUCCUUGACUUGCGGCCAGCCAAGAACUGCGCCACCACCUCGGGUGCACGCCACCACUCCAGGGCUGCUACCCCAUGCCUGCGGCCGCCGCCGGCCACCACGCGUGUGCAACCGCGUCGCACCGCUUCCUUGCUUUGUGCCACCACUGCUGCUGUACCACCAGCUCCACCACCUUGGGCUGGUCGCCAGAGUGACUGAUAACUUAUUAUCUGUAACUACUAUUAACUCAGGGAUACAUGCGUCUUUUGCUUCUCCUACUAAUAUGUCCUAAAAUAUCUAGGAUGCCUUAUAUUUCUGGACAGAGGAAGUAUUUGAAUAAAAUGAACCAAUUUAAAAAAAUGUGUUGUACACUACUACAGAAAGACCUAUCAGUGUCAAACCCAAAAAUGUUGUCACCGCCAGUUUUGGGCAUCAUUGGUGAAAGGUUGGCGGUGAUGGGCUUUCCCUUCAACAACGGCACUGGAGCCGACGGUGAUUGACAUUAGAAAACAAAAAAGGGGACCCUACCUAGCCACCCCUGCAACCCGGCCGGCCGUGCCUCCCCUCAUCCCCACCACCUCGCCUCCCCAUGACCCCCCGCCGGCGCCCUUGCGCCUAGCCCCCUCAACUGCCCAGCCGGCCACCCUCAUCACGAGAGAGAGGUGCAUGUUGUAUAAUUGCGUGAAUUUUUUAAUGUUUAAUUUCAUGUAAGUUCCGUGUAAUAAAUUGUACAAGUUUUAUUGUAUAUAUGAAUUCCAUAUAUAUAUAUAUAUAUUUAUAAUUUAAUGUAUGGUUUCAUGUGUAUAUUUCAAUCAUGUGUAUAUUUAGUAGAUUGCCGAUUUUCUUUUUCUACUAGACAAGGGUUGAUGUAUAAUUACGUGUAUAUGUUUAUUGUACGGGCAAUUAGGACAAGUUUUGUAUAAAUUUCUUUUAUUUGAUGGUUGUUGUAUGGUUUCAUGUAUAUACAUUUAUUGUACUACUUUAGACAAUUUUUAAUUUAAUGUUUCUAUGAUUAGAUGUGUGUAUAACUAAUUGUAUUAUUAGUUAAGAUGGGAGCUAAAGAGGAUGAAAGGUAUAUAAUGGAGCAGAUUAUUGCUAGCUCAAACGUUGCAAGAACCUACACCGAGGGUGAGGGUAGCUAGGUGGACAUGUACCUCAACAUGUCCAGUGAUGGCAAUGACGAUGAGGAGCACGAGCAUGACAUCUAUGAUAAUGCGGAACAAGACAUUGCAGAAUUGGAAGGUUCUAAUGAGGUGUGCUUCAUGUUGACAAUCUAGUUGGCUUUUUUUCGUUGGUCACACCUUAGUUACCAUAGAACUUCGUCUCGGGAGAAGAUUGGUGGUGGUAUGGUGAUUGGAAUUUUAUUUCCACGAAAUCUGAUUUCCAUCGAAUCAUAUCCCUUGUAUUUAUCUUCUUUUUAUUUGUGAGAGCAUCUUCUUUAUGCUUGCAAAACAAUUCAAGUGCACAUACUACCCCUAGGGUGACGAUUGGGAGUAGAAAUAAUUGCCAACAAAACAACACCACAUCCUAAGAUUCUUAACUUGUGGCAUAAUUAGUCUAGUAAAAAGAAAGAUAAAAACCUAAUGGGUGUAUGUGAGUGCAAUGUGUAUAUGCAUAUGAGUGGAAGGCAUAUAAGCAAAGACAAUAUUUACACAUAGUUCUAAACACCAUGUUUACAGCUAGGUUGCUGAAUUUCUCCAUAGCCAUAGAGAUUAAUUAACCAAGGUCAAAACACGAUGUCUAUCCCAAGAUCAGUAAUUAUUUAUAGCACAAGAAAAAGAAAGCGCAUUGCAAAGUUUAUAAACCAACCAAUACAGCAUGAAAACAAGAUGAAUAGCUAGCAAGGUUUAUUAAACUGAAUGAUGACGGUCUGUAAGCAAGUUUAAACACCAUCUUUACACAAGAUUGCAAAUGGAAAAUGCCCAUAUGAAGCACUAACAUGGAUAUGAAAUCAUUCAUCAUAAAGCGUAAAGAACAACCAAGCCAACCAUAUGCAAAGCAUGAAUGGAAUGCAAUGAAGGUGCAAGAGAACAUUUUUGGAUGAACACAUUAUGAUGAUGGCAAAAUGCAAUGCAUGCAGAAAAAAUAAAUAUGAACAUGAAUAUGAUGAUCAGGGGCGGACCCACUAUUGUGGCCUGGGUAUUCCUCGGCAUACCCAAUAUUUUUGGGAAAAUGUUUAGUAGUUUUUAAUGGCAUAUACAUGUAUAAUAUAGUUUAGGUGUUAAAAUUGAUAUUCACAGCUAUUUUGGGCUCCAAUUCGCGUCCAAACCAACCUGGCCCACAGACCGCACCCGGCCGCCCGGCCCAUCGGCCCAUCUUGUCACUGAUCCUCCCACCACCACACUCAGCCCGUCAGUUAGUCAGGUCCCGAGCUCCUGCCUGACCUAGUCCGCUACCACCGCCAGGCGCCAGGCACAGCUGUACACGCCGCCCCCGUCCACCCACGUCCGCCGCACGGCCGCGUCGCGCCCCCCCCCGGCGCCCGCUGCUGCCAGAACCCAUUAGGCCUCCACCGGCAAGUCCACCCACAGUCCCGCGCGACGCGGCAGCCUCUUGGCUCUCGGCGCUCGCGGCGCGCCAAUGCCUGCGCAGCCCCAGCAGGCGACUGCCCCCCCCCCCCCCGCAUCGGGCCUCGGCCCCUCCCCAGCUCCCCCUCCCCCCUCCACCAGGACUGCCUGCUGGCCCCCACCGCGAGGUAAUCGAAAUGGACUGCUCAAUCUCUCAAUCUGUUGACAUGAUGCACACGGUUGCAAAAAUAGAUGUGUCAAAAUAGAUGUAUUGCCAAUUGCUAUAGAUGCAUAUGGUUGACAUGAAGAAGUCAAAAAUGACAUUUGGUUCCUUGUAGGCAGUCAAAAAUGAAGAAGUCAAACAAUAUUGAUCUGAAAUCAAUGCGGGAAAGGGCUACGAAGACACACGGGUAGAUUCCCUUGUGAACUUUUUAUGUCGUUCGUCUAAAUAUAUUUUUGCAAUGGGCAUACCCUACUCUGAAAUCCUGGGUCCGCCACUGAUGAUGAUGGUCUAAACAUAAAACAAGCCUAGAUUAAUUAGCUACAACUGAAAUUAAGCAAAGGUUAAUGUCAUUGACCCUAGCUCUAUCCUAGCUUUUACUAAAGUCCCGGCACAUAUAGUGGUUGGGCCCACUCUCUCUACUUCCCUCUCUGCUGCAUGCACACACACGAGCAACUGGAGGCCCAACAAAGCCCAGAAGGGUUCGGCCGAACCCGUCCGAUCCAGUCUGAGCGCCGCUCCCUCCCAGCCUUCGCGCAGAUGCUCCUCCAACGUUCCUUGACCCCUCCCUCAGUGUCCCAUUGGGUUUAACAUUGUAGGAGAGGAGUCCCUUUUUUAAAAUCUCAACCACCUCCUCUCCUCAUUCACUCCACUCUCAUCUCCAUCAAACUCACCAAGAUCCACAUCGGAAAUACCUGCUUACCACCAUGGCUGGCAAAGCCCUCGUCCCUUUCACCAACUUGGGCUUGACCAUUGAUCUCGAUGGGAAAAUCACUCCAGCAAAUGUCAUUGUCCCUGUCGGCGAUCUGGCGAUGGAGGAGGUCCAGGCACUAGAGGUCGAGCCCCUAGCCAUCAUACCGCCCAAGGGGUAAAGCAGGAGCAUGACAGGCGCUGCUAGGGGUUCAGCCGAACUCCCAGUUCAGCCAAACGAGGACGGCGUCGCCUCGGCCUCCCGCUCGACUGCAUGCUUCCCCUUGCCAAGGAGGACUCCAGAACAGCGGGCGCGUGCGUCAAGUCCCUACAAAAGGCUGAAAUACAAUGAAUAUCCAGGGUCACCCUUGAAGAUGGGUGAACGCUACGCCGGGUCCUUGUUUGACUAGUACGGCGAUGCAUUCUGCCACCGCUAUGUCGUUGUCGAGAUUAGCGGAUCAAGACUUAGACUAGUAAAUUUCUUUUAUGCGCGUAAGGCUUCAGAUGGUGGCGUGGGAGACAUGGGUUUUAUACUAGUUCGGGCAAUGGAAUACCCUACGUCCAGUGUCUGGAGCUGCUUGUGUUGCCCACGCGGGGUUCUGUAGUAGGGGUUACAGGUGUGCGAGAGAGGGAGCUAAUCCCAGGUCUCUUAGGCGUGUUCCGGUCCUCUAGAUGGGAGAAGUGUGUUCUGUUUGCUUGGGAGUAUCGGUUGUGUCUGAGUUGUCUCCGGAGCCUCCUCCCGUCUCAGGUCCCCGAUUCUCCUUUCAUAGCACAAGGAGACCAUCGGGGUUACAGACGAGACCGAGCGUGGGGAGGAGUAAAGAGAUAAACAUAGCUAGGUAAAAAUACAACAAGAAAGGGGGGAACCAAGUUUCUAGGUCACCGGCGUCCUCGCCGGCCUUCGACUUCCGCCGGCGCAUUUGUCGGAGGAGGGUGGCCGCCAUCGCGUUCUGUCGAUGGCUUCCUCGGUGACUGUAGCCACCGGGCGUGAUGAUGGCAUUUCGUCGUGACCCUUUGUCUGUUGGGGGAGGCGGCGGAUCCUGCCAUUCUGCUGACGGCUCGCGGAGUGCGAACGUCGCAUCCCUGCCGCUGGGCACGCGGGGCGCGAGAACGUGCGAGGCUUCCCCCUACCCCAGGCGGCGCAGGCCAUGAGUGCCCUGUGGCAAAUCGGAGGAGGCCGCAGCUACUGUAGCUUGUACUGUGCAGCCACGUAUGGGUACUUGUGGCAGGUUGCGUGGUGGAUGCGGAUAUCCUUCUCCCUGACAGAUCUGCGGCGCAUUUAUGGCGAGAUCGACAUGGGGACCCACAAGACCCGCGCCCAAGGCGGAUACUUGUCUGGAGGGCCCGGGUUAGCCUGACCCCCUACGCUUGGGGUCGGGCGAGGCGGAGACUUGCGGCGGGGCGUCGGACGCUCCCGACACUAGACCUGCGGUCGCGCAAGGCGGAGCUUGGUCUUCCGGGGGUCGGGGGUGCCGGACCCCAGGAUGCGGGGUCGGGCGAGGUGGAGCGUAAUUCUUGCCUCCCAUGUUGGGCCGAUGGCAGUCUUUGUUACCUCUAGUGGGCUUGGGCCUUUAUGUUUUGUUGUUUCCAUGGGCUUCGAGAGGUCGUUAAUAUUUCCCCCCAACAGUAGCCCCCGAGCCUGUGGUGGAGUGGGGGCGCUCCUCCGGAGGCUACUAUCAUCGCCCCUAGGGAAUCCUCGCAGUUGAUCCGGGAUAGGAGGUGUUGUUUGCACGGCUUGACCGAGGGGGUCGAUUAGGCGACGCAUCCUGUGAGCGACUCGGUGCGGGAGGGUUUCUUGUUGUUCCCUUCUGUCUGAGAGCCUUAAGUCGAGACCACCUGCGUGGCCUUUGGUUGCAAGGCCAGCCCCCGAGCCCCCGCACGUUGCAGGGGACCGGUCGGAGGCUAGGUCGACUUUUGUUCAUUACCCUCAAGCGUCUGUUCGCUAGGACGGAGGGGGCGAGCCGUGCCAUGCUAUCCUCAUCGGACGAACCAUGGUGCUCAUUGAGUUACUAACGGGUUGAUUCGAGUGGGAUCCCGGUCCCCGUUCGGGGGGGGUCCGGCUUGGGCCAAGCUGGUGGCGUACCCCAGGCUCCGGUCGGCCAGUUCAUAUAGUUCCUGAGUCCGUUCGGUCGGACCGGGGGCUCAUUGCCUUUCUUCGGGGAAAAACCAUGAACUUUGAUGCCGGUCCAGACUCGAAUGUGAGAUUGAGACGCCCGGGGCUGUCGCGUGCCCGGGUGAUGGCCGCUAGCGGACCCGUCUCCUCUCACCCCUCACUCGGGGGUAUCCUGAGGCGGCUGUCGAACCCGUGGCGGGCCAGCCUUCGAACCUCUGGAUCGUAAUGGGCCGUAGGGGCGUUUUCAGCCCCGUAUCCCUUUUUACCUUUUGGUGGGCCUUGGGCCGAAUCAUGGAGGAGGUCGGGCCUUGGGCCGGAUGCGGAGGAUGUCGUGCCUUGGGCCGGAUGUGGGGGACGUCGUGCGUGUCUUCCGGGAGACGAAGUGGUGGAGGGUGCCAACCCGCGAAUCGAGGGAGGAGGGGAUGUUUCUACUGCAGGUCAUGCGCACGGUUUCCGAAAAGGCAGCGGGCGUGACGGGACGUACCUCGCGCCGCAUUUAUUGCGAUGGGGGCGUCUGUUCUGCUUCCCUCGUGCCUUCCCUAUAAAACGAGGACUUCGCCUCGCCGGUUCCGCCCGCCAUCUACCUUCAAGCCUUUUCGCCUCCUCGCGCGCCCUUAGCUUUCCUGUGCCCGCUUCGUCUUCCUCCGCCCAGUGCCGCGCCCUUUCUCCCCAUCCGCCGUCGAGUUCUUCUCCCUCCGGCGAUGGGAUCCUGGGCGCGUUCCCACUUCGGCCCCUCACGCGCCGAAGGCCUAGUGAGGAAAGGCCUCCUUUGCGAGAGGACGGAGACGGAUGAGUGGGGGUUCCCUGAGAUGGAAGAGGUGCCGACUCCGCCCACCGGCUACGUCGUUUCCUUUGCCCACUUCCACGAGAGGGGGUUUGCGACUCCGCCGAGCCUCUUCUUCCGCGGGCUUUUGUAUUACUACGGGCUUGAGCUGCAGCACCUCAACCCCAACGGGAUUCAGCACGUCGCGGCGUUCGUUGCGGUGUGCGAGGGGUUCCUGGGCAUUGAGCCCAACUUCUCGCUGUGGAAGUACUUCUUCACGGUCAGCCUAUACCAGAAGGCCGAGAAGAGGGGAAGCCAGCAGCGGUCGACCCCGGUGCCGAUAGGGUGCGUCGGAAUCCACCUCUGCCAUACUCGCGCCAAGGAGUAUAUCGCGAUGAAGACCGCGGCAUCCCACAAGGGGUGGCACCAGCAAUGGUUCUACGUGAAGAACUACUCCAACCCCCCCUGCCGGAGUUCACCGGCCGCAUUAUUGAAGCGGCGCCGGAGGUGUGGGUGUACGGCCCGGUGGAGAAGGAGAAGAAGCGGAUCACCGGCCUGCUGCAGGCCAUCGAGCACCUGAAGGAGAGGGGACUGACCGGAGCCGGAGUCAUCGGGGCGUACCACGCCCGGCGGGUGGCGCCGCUGAUGCUCCGGGUCCGCUCGCUCGCCGACAUGACCCCCGGUGCUCUCACCGAUGGCACUGUCCUCGCGACGGGUGCUCUCGCUGCCUCCGAGAUCCGGCAGCGGAUCCGGGAGGCGCUGGAGGACAAGGACGCCGAUUACCCGGUGCCCGGCCACCCUCCGAUGCGCCCGGACGAGAAUUUCAUUGAUCUGGUAAGGAUUUUGCGCGCCAGUUUCCCUCUCUUGCGUUUCUUGGUAUGCCGUUCUGACGCGAGGCCCUCUGUGUUUGCAGGGUAGCAUGACCCGGGUCGUCGACUUGCGUCCGCCAGUGUCGGAGGACGCCGAGUGGCGGUAGCAGAACCGUCUCCUUGCCGAGAAGCAAAAGUGACGCAAGGACAAGAGACAGCGAAGAAGAAGAAGAGGGCCGCCAAGGAGUUCCAGCGGCGGCGGUGGGGAUAGGUCGUGUCGGAUGACGAUGACGAUGAGAAGGAGGAGGAGGAUGACGAGGAGGAGGAGGAGUUUAUCCUGUCCCCCCGGUCAGGGGCGCUUGUUAUCCGGGAGCCGCGCUCCCAAGCGGCCAUGGGGGACAAGGCGGGCGAGCUGCCUGCCCGGACCCGAUCCUGCGAAGCUUUGGGGGCGCGCCCCAGGGGUCGGCGCAGAGCGCCCCCCGGGGGUCGACGGAGCCGACCCCCAUCCCUACACCUGCAGCCCAGGAGCAGAGGAGCAGCGACAAGCGGCCGUUGCCAGAUGCCCCGGGGUCGGCGUCCAGCUCAGAGGCGAAGCGCGCGCGCCGCCCUUGCGCUGGGGGAACGUGAGUUGAAUUUCCUUGCGAAUCUCGUUCCUUUCCAUGCAUUGUGUUUGUUUCCGCUGAUGCUGUUUGUUGUCUCACAGCACCGCCCCUCAAGGCCUUGUCCCGCCGUUGGCGCCAAAGAAGGCGUUGCGGUGUUGUCGCCUCUGCGGGGCGGACCGCGGCUCCGCCGGCGGCGAGUGGCGGGGUCACUGGUGAGACCGCGGGUCCUACCGCGGAGGUGGCCCCUGCGGCGGCAACCGGUGGAGUGGUGCCACCGCCGGGCAUGGGACAGGGUCUGGACCCCGCUCCGUCCUCCGCCUCUUCGGCCGACCCCGCGGUGCAGAGUAUCGCUCCUGGGGGCCCUCAGGCCGGGGAGGUGAUUGACCUCGACGCCGACGAGGUGGAGGAGACGGCGGCGGUGGAGACGGGGGCGGUUGCCCCAGCGGCCAUGACGGGGACGACGACGGCGACGGGGGAAGGAGAGUCUACCCCCGCGGCCACGGCGGGGACAGUGGCGACAGAGGAGGCGGGGACGCCCGCCCCGGCGGCUGCGACGGAGGAGGCGGCGGUGACGGAGACGGGGGCUUCCGCCCGGGAAGCCACAGCCGAGGUGGCAGCGGCGACGGAGGUGAAAGUGCCUGUUCUGGAGGCCACGGUGGGGGUGGGGACGCCUGCCUCGUGGCCACGACGGAGGGCGAGGCGGCCCCAGGGACACUUGCUCCGGCACCCGCGUUGGAGGCGGUGGCGCCGACGGGUUGGCCCGUGGCGGCCUCGACGGGGGCGGGGGUGCGUGCGCCGGGACCGUCGGUGAGGCCGGCGACUUCCGGGAUGGUGGUGCCCGUCUUGACGGCGGCGGCGGCGCGGUCGGCCCCCGCCCUUGCCUCUACCACUCCCAUUCCCAAGGCGUGGAGCGGAUCCGUCCUGCGUUGGUCGUCUCGUGACGACCCGCAGAGGCCCCUCUUCACGUUGGAUGAUGCCACAGAAUGGGGCAAGUGGCAGGCGCUGCAGGGCGGACUCGCUAACGUCCGCGCCGCUCUAUCUUCGGCGUUGGGGGAGCUGGACGGCGUCAUCUUCCCCGGUGGCCGGGUAUGGUGCUUUCUCCGUUGGUUAUUUUCUUCCCGUUACUUCGUCCCUGAUGGCACAUUGUUCUGCAGGCCCUCCAAGAAUGUAGCCGGGGAAAAUCUGAUUUCCUUUGGCUCGAGCAGGGGCUCUGGGAGCGCUUCAACUUGGAGUUGCAGCGGACCGGGGAGCUGACCAUGCAAGUCGCCACCGUCUAGCAUGUCAUCGACGAUCUGCGAAGGCACGAGCAGGCGGCACAGGAGGACGCGCGGCGGGCGGAGGCCAAGUUCCAGGUCGUUGCCGAAAGGGCUCGCUGCGACCGCGAGGAGUUCCAGGCCGUUGCCGAAAAGGCCCGCCACGACGCUGAGGAGCUCGCACGGCUGAAGGUGCAGCAUGAAGCUCUUCAGAAGAGCGGCAGAGGGCCUGGCAGGACCGGGACGCCGAGAAGGUCCGGAAGGAGGAGGCUGAGAAGGUGGCGGCCAACCUUGGGGCUGAGGUCAGCCAGCUCCAAGUGCAAGCGCGAGAGCUUCAGGCCUCCGUGGCCCAGGGGCUCGACCAGGAGCGCCAGCUGAAGGCCUAAUCCGAGGGUAUGACUCUGUUUAUUUCUUUGUCUUUGUGAUGUUGCGGUGAUAUUUUAUUUGGCGGGUUCUUCUGGAUGAUCCUUGCAGAUGAGCUCAACUGGCUGAGGGAGGUGCUUGACGCGGAGCGCGCUGAGCACGGCGACCUGCGGGACGCGGUCCGCGUCAUCUGUGACUUCCUUAGUGUGGUCCAGGGGGAGGGGACGAGCUCGCUGGCGGCUCGUGUCCUCGGGACGUACCGCCGGACCAGCGAGAUCGCCCUGGAAGCGCUUCGCACCGGCUUGAGGCAAGCCUUUGGGGUCUUCGGCUCCCACUAUUCCGGCAUCAACUUCGCCGGGAUGAGCGGGGGAUACGCCACCGGCUACUACGAGGCCGAGCUGGAUGAGAUCGACGUGUCGGUGCUCAGCCCGGCGGAGGCCUUGGUGAAGCUCCUCGAGGAUGAGGCCGUCCCGCCCGAAGAUCCCCGGACGAGUUAACUAUAUCGGGCUGGCGCCCCAGAUGUAAAUACGUUAGGGAAAGACUUGUUUUUUGUGAGGGCCGUAGAGGCCUUUUCUAUGAAUUGUCGUAAAAAAGUUUUUGAUUCCCUUUCUUGCUUUUUGGACUUGGAAAGUUUAGAGCACGUUGUCGGGCGUGUCAGUAAGCUUUGAUGAGCGAAGGCACCGUAGCCGCUGGGGCGUCGUUUUUUUUGCAGUCCGAUCAAUCUUGCCUGAACACCGUUCGUGCACUUUCUCCUUUUUAUGCCCAAAAGUUCAGAAAGAGGGUCGGCUCGGAAAGAGAAAGCGUUUUGAGAGGGUGUCAAGUGGCUUAGGUACUUGCGGCAGGUUGCGUGGUGGACGCGGAUAUCCUUCUCCCUGACAGAUCUGCGGCGCAUUUAUGGUGAGAUCAACAUGGGGACCCACAAGACCCGCGCCCAAGGCGGAUACUUGUCUGGAGGGCCCGGGUUAGCCCGACCCCCUACGCUUGGGGUCAGGCGAGGCGGAGACUUGCGGCGGGGGGUUGGACGCUCCUGACCCUAGACCUGCGGUCGGGCGAGGCGGAGCUUGGUCUUCCAGGGGUCGGGGGCGCCUUACCCCGGGAUGCGGGGUCGGGCGAGGCGGAGCGUAAUUCUUGCCUCCCAUGUUGGGCCGACGGCAAUCUUUGUUACCUUGGGUGGGCCUGGGCCUUUAUGUUUUGUUGUUUCCAUGGGCUUCGAGAGGUCGUUAAUAUUUCCCCCCAACACUAUGAGGAGGACUUGUGGGCAGAAAGUCAGCUACCACAAACUUGCCUCUGAAUAUUUGGAGUGCAAACAUUGGAUGGUGGUUGUGGAGAGCCCCAGCCAUACCUCGCACCCGUGGAGAGGUAAUUGUCGGAUUGCUUGGUUCGUCUCUAGAAUGCGACAAGGUCAGGCGCCACCUCUCACUGCUGCCAGUCAGAAGGCCGAGGGGCCAGUUUCAACAUAGUAAUGAGAAUCUCCGAAGGCCAAUAUGGUUAAGCAGCUAACCUCCAUGAUCAUAGACUUACGUUUAGAAAAUAGGAGGCUUAGCGAUGCGUUAACAGAGCAGAAGUUAGAAACAGAAGAACUUAAGGACGACUUCCGUGUCCUCCGCCUUGGUCUUUGUGCUAAGAUAAAGCGCUUGUACAAUGCCACGGGGAAUGACGGUCUCUACGAUGCAGCUCAAUAGACGUGCCCCUUGUAUCCUUUCCUUUAGGCACUUUAGAAUAUGUUUAUUUGUUUUCCUUCAUUUUAAUUUCCAAUAGAUUGUUAGCGCCUCCAAUUUAAUUUCAAUAAAGUGUAGACUCACCGGUCAUCCAACUUGAUGGAGUCCUUUUGUCACCUAGUUGUCUUUGGAAGAAGUAGCUGGGUACAAAAUAAGUGUGGGGGAGAGCCACAGACUCUCUAGAGCUGAAACAAUGCACAACACCCACAAAUAGAGAAAACCACGCUGCACCAGCACGUACGUGAAAGUGGAGCCAGAGCUGGACCCAUAGGGGUUUGGCCAACCCAAGGGGUGGCCCACUCGGGCCAUCUUCAUCCACCGCGUCGGUUUGUGUCUCUUUACCCCUGAUCUCCCUGAUUCAUGAGUUUGAAUGAAUUUUAAAUCUGAUCAACUAAUUCAAACUCAACUAAAAUGAAUCAACUGCUCCACCUGCUCUACAUGUUUUCUAUGGUUGGCUUGCAUAUGUUUUAUUUCAUGCUUAUCAUCUUGAUGCUUGUGAACAAAUAUCUUUAGGACAGCAUGCUCAUCUAAGUAGUUGAUGUGUAUGAUAUGGUUCGAUGAUAUGAUCUUCACUCUUAAUGCUUAAGUGCUUGGGAAAAUCUAUUUGAAAAUUUAAAAGCCUUUUUGAAAUCUCCUCUUUGAUGUGCCAAAGUCCUACCAAAGCCAUAUGAUAAGUUAUCUUGAAAAACCAUUUGCAUAUGUUGCUUGUCUUUGCAUUGAGCUUUGUCAAAUUGGUGUGACCCUUGUCACAAUUCUUUUCAUACUUUCAUGAUCAAGACUCAUGUGCACGCCAUAUACCCCUUGCUAUGCUUCUAUGAGAUGUUAGCAUUGUACCAUCCAUUCAUUCCACAAAAUAAAUGCUCCACCAUAUGUGUUGGUCUCCUUCUAAGAUUAUUGUUACAAAAGAGAUAUGGGCUAUCAAAAAAAAAUAUGAAUGUCCAAGAAAGUUGGACACAUGAAUGUCCAAUAAAAAGAAAAAGAAAGAUAGCCAUGUCCUCAGAAAUAUUUACAAAGGGAGAGAGAUCAUACAAAAAGGAGUUUCCAUUCCAUCCACCACAUCCAUACAUGUGCACAUCUUGAUCUGAUUGUAUGACUUAUUUUUCUCUUUGGAUCUGGUCUUUGACUUUGCAAUAUAUGUGAUGCAAGCAUGCCUUAUCCUUCAUAGCCUACCUUGAGCUCCACAUAUAGCCAUCAUUAGAAGUAGGAUGAAGAAAGGCAAGUCUAAUGCCUUGGUGAGGACAUAUACACAUUGAGUGAUCUGAGAGAAUCAAAUGAGGAGCUAAGCAAGGUUUUGUUUUGAAAACUAAUUGAAAAAUCCCAAGCUACUUGGCAUAAGGAGUUGAGGUGACUUGAUUCAAGACCAUUACAUUCCUCAACUACCCAAGAUGGCAUGAUAGACACUCCAAAGUUCACAAGUGCAGGUAUGGUUUGGAAUAUCUUUUAGGCUCGCUUCAUACCUUUGAAAGUUAUGUUUCACCUUAGUCCUUUCUCGUUCACUCAAGGAUAAGCAAAGGCUAAGUGUGGGGGUGUUGUUGAUGGCUCUUAAGUACAAAAUCUGCGCCAUCAACUCUUGCAUAAACACAUAAAAUAUGAGCAUCAACAAUAGUGGUAGGAGUUAUUACAAACGAAUUCCACAAGUCUUGGUGAAUAUUUGUAUGCAAGCCCAAUAGGAGAGAAAAGACACCUCAAAAGCAAGGAAACACACUCUCAACCAAUCAAGAGCAAGCACAUGGAACCAUGGGCCCACAACCAAAAGGAAAUCGACUACAUUCCAAACACCCUAUACCCACAUGAGAACCCAUAGGGCAGUGACCCAGAGCAAAGGUGAUGCCAGAGUGUAGAUGGUAGUUAGCAUGCCAAAUUUUGAACCGCAAGCGCUCGGAUUAGUUGUUUCUUUUCCCUUAGAGAUUCCCCCAAGGUUUAUCAAUCCAUGGAACAAGGGAUUUGCACGUUUCACUAAGCACUAAUCAAUGUAAUUGAAAGCUUUUCGAAUAAGAUAUGAUUAUGCUAACAAAGGAACUAAGCAAUCUAGAUUAAGAUGGAUAGAGAGUACAGGUUGUGAACAAGAUAGAUUAAACGCUUGUAGAUGCAAUCACCAUGCAUGAAUGAAUUAGAUCUAGGUGUUAUUGUGAGUGGUUGUGAACCAUGCCCAACACUUUCCCACCCGCAACAUUGUCACUACAUGUGGGUACUCAACUAUCGGAACAUAAGAACACAUCAAGAUGAUCAUUCUAGGUAAGCAAAUAAGCAACCCAAAGUAGCGCUGGCCAGCCUUUUCAUGAAAGAGCAUCAUCAAGAUAAGAUUGAUAACAAAAUAGAUCUCAACCAAAGGUUCAGCGAUUACAAAUCAAGAUCUUCGUAUAACCCCGAUGACAAAUAGAGGUAUUACCCCCAUGAUCUUACACAUGUUGAUGAAUUUUAGGGUAAAGGACACCCUGUAGAUCAACUGGACCAAAGAUGAUGAUGAACGGGGGCAGGGAAGGCCCAGGUUGAUCAGCCUGCGCACUUUUGAGCCGAUCAGCUCAGGGGGUUUCCUCCUCCCCUGGUGCUCCUCUUCGCGUGGCCUCCUCUGGAUCCAAUCUUCUCUUCAUUUCUCCUACUUGUGGCGGCAAUGGAUGGUGUUUGCAUGGUGAUUUCCUCUUCUCCCCAACUCUCCCUCCUUGAAGUCCAUGAGGGGGUAUUAAUAGUCUCCAAUAGGCGGCAGCUCUGGGUCAAUGUCAGUGAAAAAAUCCUAGAGAUCAUCGUACACUUCAUGCUGAGGAAACAAGAGGUUGACCGAGCCCUGGGAUAGACCAAGAGGAUCAUCCUAGAGGGUCCCAGGCUAAUCGGUCUAGGCCCUUCCUAGCCCUUCUAGUCCUCUCCUUCCUCGUGCUGGCUUUUCUCGAUGACCCUUGUCCAAAUAUCCAUGAAGCUCUAUAUACAUACCCCCUUGAUUAUGUUGUAUUUCCUGUCAAAAUACAAUGCUCCAAAAUACAACACAUAUGCAAUAAUAGGGUUAUUUCAGGUGCCAAUUGGUGGGUUAGUAUACGAAUAAGCAUGAAAAUACUGUUUAAAUGACACUAAAAGUGUGUCAAUAACGAGCACCAACAAUCCCCCCACGCUUAGAUCUUGCUCGUCCUCGAGCAAGUCUAGCGACUAAAAGAUCUUGAAUUAAACCUGAGCAAGCGAGUCAAGUACCUAGCCUUGAAACAAAAGAUUAGAGGAGCAGCAAAGAUAAUCAAAGUCUGGGUGUUCAAAGAUUUAUCUAAGCAAAGAUUCCCCUACAACUAUUAUUCAGAACCAAGUAACUUCAAAAAUCAACUACACUUAUUUUCUGGCUUUUUUCAGAGGGUUUUUCUUUCAUCAUAAAACAAUCUCCCUGCAACAAAAUUGAAAAAAGAAUUAUUUUCAAGGUGCUUACAUGUCGCUUAAAUGAAUGUUGGCUAUCCUACUUAUUUGCAAGCUCUCAUCUCUCAAAAUUCAUUCAAUUAUAUGGUGGAGUUUGGGUAAGGUUAGCUAGAAUCAACACGUAUAUUAUUGAAUUAAGAAAACCCUCUAACGGUGGCCUACCUUCCGAGCCAUUGAUCAUAAGAAUAUCCACAUAAUGUGAAGUUUUCAAGGAUGAGAAGAUAUAGAAUGGUGGACAUGUGCAAAGGCAAAGAAAUAUAGUGACUCUGAGGCACAAGCAAUGUCCUCGUCGUUGGAUUGCAUAUGGUUGUAAUGAAAAUAUGUUCCUUAAACAAGUCUAUCUUUUCUUUGCACCACUCUUGAUCUUCAUGACAGUAAAAACUCCUCCUUUAUUUCUUUCUCUCUUUUCCUAUUAUUUCUUUUUAUUUGUCUCAAUACUUUUAUUUCUUUAUUUCUUUAUUUUAAUCUCUUCUCUGAACCUCUUCUGAACACCACAUAAUAAAAAUAAGUUUUAGAUCCUUCCAGAGACCUUCCAGGAAUUUGCUACAUGAAAACCGAGGCAAGGAGACCCCAGGCCGAUUGGCCUAGCCACUCCUUUGCUCUCCUCUAGCUCUUCUUUCUGGUGAAGCUUCCUUAUCUUGUAUCUUUCCAAAAAUUUCAUAAAGCUCGACUAGAAACGGAACAGAUCUUCAUAUAAUGAGUUGUGUUCAAGGAAUUGGUAAUAAAAUUGAGAAAUUUGUGGUUCGGGUUUACGAAUUCAGUACAAAAAUAUGAUUGUUCCAAUGAAGAACUCUCAUUACUGAAUAUUGACGAGGCAAGCAUUCAAAGAUGGUAAAAAGGAUAUGAUCAAUUCUCAAAAUUAAAGCAAACCAAGAGAGAGCGAUCCUAAUUCAAUUCAAAGUGUCAAAUGUUGCUUAUGGUGGUAUGAAUAAAUAUUUUUAGGCAUUGGGUAGGAUAAAUAAAAACUCUCAACCUGGUUAAAAGAUAUUGAUCAAUCUUGUUUUUGCAGAGGUUUUAAAUAAAAAAUAAAAUUUUAAAUCACCUCCAAUUCAAAGCCUUACUCAUAAAUCAUAAUCAAAACUGAAGCACUUGAUCAUCAUAAAGCAUGGGUAUUGCAUAAACAAAUCGAUUACUAAAACUCCACAACUACGAUUUAGAAUUCAAGACAAUGCUCAUAAUCUAAAGUUGCAAAGAUAAAAUAAAAGACAACCAAGCCAAGGUAGACACUAAAAACACUUGCACGAUCCUUGAAUUUUAUUCAUGCUUCUUCUCACAAAGACGCUAAAGUAGCCAUGUAGGCCUAAGUCUUCCCAAAAGCUUAAGAAAACUACUACUUUAUCUACUUUUGGUUGAAAUAAAAAGACUAAUCUAGACUCUCACAUGAUUCGACUCGACCAAAUUAGAUCCAAAAACUCAUACGAGCGACGAUCUCCCCCCCCUCACGCUUAAAAUCUACGACCUCCUCGUCGUAGCCAUAUGGAGUACAAGGAAAAGAAGCUUGUAAACGCUCUAAUGACGCUACCCGCACUACUUGCACACGGGAUGGUUGCUGCUUCCUUCGCUUUGUUCUUCCUCAUGUUGCUGCACAUCCCGAAGAGCUUCCUCACGUUCCUCUGCAAGAACUUGAACUCGUCCUCCUGACGGCGAUCAUUAUCUUCUGCCUUUUGAUCCAGAGCUUGUAAGGCUUGCAUGAUGUCAUCGAACGCAUCGAAGAGGUAGUGGAUGUUCUUCCUGCAAGCUGUGGAACAUGUACGAUCAUGCUCCUCCGAUUCUGGCCCGUCGUCUUCUAGAUCCUUCUCUUUGCCCUUGUCUUGACGGUGGCUAUCUUGCUCCUUGCUCGCCUUCUUGCCUUCAGCCCAAUCCCAGUACGUGUUGUCAUCUUCUUCAUCGUCACGGCCUGCAGCACCCUAUGAUCCAUUGUCUAUCUUGUAUGAAAGAAUCAGAAGCUUGUUCUCCUCAGGGUGUCUUGCGCGGUGCAGCGUUUGCAAGUGCAAGACUUGCUAGUUCCUUUUACACAUUGUAAUGUUCAUUGCAUGCUCUAAUUGUUCUACAUUUGUAAUUUCUUGGUGAAGUUUGGUUACUGAUCCACUGUUUGAUUAACUCUUGGGCCCAAACACUGUACUACUUCUGAUUAGAUAUCUGUAUCUUGACUUUGACCAAAAAAAAUAUCCGGCAGUUUUUGCCAUUAAAGUUUCAUAAAUCAUCUUGCAAAAAUCGUACUAUACAACAAGGGACGGUUUAUUAUAAAAUAUACGUUCCCCUUAUCACAUGCCACUUCCACUCAAAAGGCAACGAAUCAGUUUUCAAUCCUGAGUGAGCAAUUUGCUUUUAUUACCGAUGCCUCCUAUUCCCUUGUGCACCAAGUUUAUUUUGGAUAGGGCUGCAAAAAACGACUAACCAGCUCGGAUUCUCCACCUGCAAAACCGCAUCUGCAGCAACCAACCCCACGCGGUGGAAAAAAAAACAAAACCUAGAAACCGGACGGGGGUGGAUGUGGGGCUCGGAGCCCAAGCAAAAAACGGAUCGGGAGCGCCGGAGCAGGCCAUCACCGGAUGUUAGAGAUAGAAAAUGGUUGAAGUUUGGAGUGGAAAUCAAACAAGCCUUGGAGCAAAGGAAAAAAAAAGAUCAAACCACUCAAGCAUUCAUUUGAUUUAGAAAAGAGAACAUUUGUUAAGGUGGGGAGUUGAAAUCAUCUUUUAAUUAGUUCCACGUAUCUGGUAUCAUUACAGUUGGUUUACUUGUGUAAGUAUAAGUAGCUCUGCCGAAGCCUUUGCUCCUAUAAUUUAGUAACUAGUACAAAUGGAUCAAUAGGAAAAUCAAGUUGCAAUCAUUUCUCAGCCAACCAAACCUAUGUAAAUCAAAUUAUUGUCCAUGCCCGGCAUGCACAGGUGCCUGCCAUGCAUGCAUUGUUGCUCCAUUGUAAUAACCAUUAUUGUCCAUCGAUGUUGCAGCGCAUGUGUGCACUGUGCAGACACCAAGCAUCGAGAUUAUGUACUAGUAAGGUGUUGAAAUAAUGGGCCUAGCCCAUAAGUAAUUUCAGAAUUUCAAAUAAAUCUCAAAGGCCCAUGUGGGCAAGAGGUGGAGUGGUGCAAGUCUUUAGUCCCACAUUGCUAGUCGAGGGGAGGGAUGACCAACUUAAAUAUGGAAGUUGUCUCCACUCCUCCAAGCUAUGUGUGAAGGGCGCGGGCGCGAGGCACUUGCGUGAAUGGUCCGCCGAAAUCUGGCCCCCCUUGCGGGGGCGCGGCUUCCUUUUGCCGUUUUAUUUUUUGGUUACUUGGUCGUUAAGUCAUGGAAUCCUAACCGGUUUAGAUCACGAUCGUGAAGGUUUUUGGGAAGCGCUCUGCGCGACUGCUCGAUCGCUUCUUCCGCUUCGUCAAGUUCUUCGUCGACUCCUUCACCACGGCUCGUCUACCUCUUCGUCGCUCGGGCCUCACUCGUCGUCGCGAACAACGUCAGGCUGCUGAUCGUCGUCGCCUGCUGUAUCCGGUAGUCGUCCAGGAGCCGGUUUUCAUCAAGAAAGAAACGUACGGUCUCUUAACUCACAUUAUGUCUUCCAUACUAGCUAUUAUGAUUGUUGCAGUCUGAUAGCUCUGGAUAGUAUGGUAGAAUGUCUGAUUCUAUUUGCAAUGAUAGACUUGUCUAGAUCUUGCGUAGACAUGUCUAGUUUAAUCUGCUGCUUGUUCAUCAUAUUCAUGAUUUAUUUCUGGAUUAAGUUAAAACUAAAAGUGCUUAUAUAUCCAACAUAAGGUACCAAGAACACGUGAAGCACCCGGGGGAGGCUGCUCCACUCCGCAUGCACAGGUGGGCACGGCACCACUACUCGUCUCCUUCAGGCUGAGGAUAAGUGAUGUACGCUGAUCAACAGACCACGACGGAACCAGCAAUAAUAGUUUCAGCCUGCCUCACAGUAAUUAAUAUAUCCUGUAUCCUCCGAGGACCCCUCCCCUUAAUCUUGGCCUAUUGCAUCCAAUAAUGAUAUGUGUGUUUAUCCAAAUUUACGGCACCUUUGGCGGGGGUUCCACCCAGCUCCGCCCUCUCCACCUUCGGUACUCCAUGGGAAACCAUUCCUUUGGAAUCAAGGAAGCUUGAACAGUAUAACGAAUAAAGUUUCAUAUAUCCAUUUGAUUUCACAUGAAAUAAAAUAUUCUGUCAGAACCAAUGGUUUCACUGAAGCUCCAGGCAGCGAGCGAAGGGGUGAGAGAGGAUAACGCUUACUGUGUGUUACCAUCGCGUGCACCAUGGAUGACCAACGCGCAGCCGAGAUGAAACGGCGGACCUAAACAGGUCCUCGCUAUUUUUGCAGGUUCUCGACCAGGCCAGUUCUUUAGGCCAACCUAUCAUUCACGAGUUAAACAUACGGUGGCUGGAGAAAUGUUCUAUUCUUUUAAACAAUACCAGCUGGUUCCUCCGUUUUUAUUCCACCAAUACAAGCACCACCUUGUAACAUUUCCUAUGUUUUUUUUCCUUUCGUCUGUUUUCUCACUACAUGCGUUGCUCUUUCAUGCAUUUUUUUCCAUUCCUGUAUUCCAAAUAGGUCUACAUGAACACAAAAUGAACUAGGGGACAGAAAAAGCCAGUGAAGUUAGUUUUGAGCUUCACCAGCUACUUGCUACAUAAAGUGUGCUAUAGUCGCAGAAAAGCUAAGCUGGAUCAGACGUGGCCGAAACAAUGCCAAAGAGCUAGGUCCCUAGCUGAUGGCAACACAUCAGAUGACUAGCCUGCUUUUCUGUAAUAAUGAUAUUGAGCAAUACACUGCAUGGCUAACCUGCUUUACAAUAAUUGUCAUUUUAUAAUAUUGGUCAUCACGAGAGAUGCACAUUGCAUACACCGGCCCAUCCCUAUAAAUAGCCAAGCCUUUCAGCCAUCUUGGGCACCUCCUCUCAGGGCCUCGUCUCACCAUCAGACAUCUCGUUCCCAGUUAUAAUUUGCGAGGUUAGAUCAGGCUGCGCCAUGGCGUCCGCAACUGCUGUCAAGAUCGUCGCCACCUUCAUGCUGGUGCUGACCAUGGGCCACCUGAUGGCCGAAGCAUCACCGCAGCCUCGGCGUGUGCUUGCAGAAACGGAGCAUGCUGCGGUGUCCGGGAAUCCUGGCCUCCCAGGUGAUGCUAGCGUCAUGCAGGUCCUCGAACCCGCCCUAGUUUCUCGGCUUGCCUGCAAACCAGAGUGCACAGUCCCUUGGCCUCCUUUUGUAUGUAUCUGCUAGAUCCUCUUCCUGGCUCAACGGAACUUCAGGGAAAUGGCUGUGACGUCGGCCAAAGAAUAAAUUGGAUGAACAUAAUAUACCCCGGGUAGUGUAGCUUGGGCUUUUGUUGAGCGUCUGGUGCUAGUUGUAUUUUGUUUGCUCAUGUGGCUUUGCUUCUGGUUGCAUAUUGGCUUUCCUAUCGCUCUCUGUUGCAGCUAUGGUUUCUGCCAGGUGUGUGUUAAUGCGGUUUGUAAGCGGUGCUUGUUCCUACCUUCUGUUUUCAAUAAAAGAAGUCGGAGUCUCCCUCCGACUCUUGUUAUCAGUCAACAAAAAUGAGUUGUAUCAUAUAUAUCUGCGUCUUUUUUCUACGUAUCUUUGGGCUGCUUCAGCUGGAAGUUUAUCGUAAGUACGUGUAUCAGGAUGAUCGUUUGAAUUAAAACGAAAUGAUAAUGUGUGGCUGCUAGAAAUGGAAUGAGCAUCUUACUAUAUUACUAAUUGGAAGCCUCCACGUGAAGCCACCUAGAAAUUCUAGGUGGACGUUUUAAAAAAAACAAAACUCAUAGAAGCCUCCACCACCUAGGAAUCCUAGGUGGACACUCUAAAAAGAGACAAAUCCUAGAAAUUCUAAAAAAAGAAAAAAAUAAUAACAAUAAGAUUUUUUUGCAGUCAAUUACAUAUAUUUUUUUGAGACACCGUGCUGCUAGCUCUUGCCAUUGCGACCAGUAAAGCAAGCAGAUAGUAAGAUGACAUGCGUGUGGAUUGAUUAAAACAAAUUCAGUUAGUUGAUUCUAAAUCGUAUGUAUCCUAAAAGGAAGAUAUGUGCGUGCAUGGUCCCUAGCGAUGACAUGUAGACAUGUAUUGCAAUUUCUUUUUUAAAAAACAUGUCUAUCUCUAAACCAACAAACAGAAAAAAUAUCAAUCUAAAUCUAAAUCUCUUCCGUUCUCACACGCCUAUUAAAGAGAAGACAACCAAUCCCAUCCAUGUUCCAUAGAAUCCAUCUAAAAGCUUGCUCACUGCGGACGGCAUUUGACGGCAAAUCAAUGAAAGAUCAUCCUCUCCAAAUAGCUGGACGGCAUCACCAUCUUUAUCUCACCAACCUACAGAGCUACAACGAUGUUGUAGAGAUCAACUAGGUAACCUACCAAUCACCCUCCCCUUUUCUAUAUGCUCUAAAGAACACGUGGAGUAAUUAUAGGCCUAUAGGAGCCGACUAACCUAGAUUAAUAUGAAAAAUAUUCCAAUAUUAAAAGCAAGCAGAUAGUAAUACUUGCCUUUGACCAUUUUUCUAGAACUGUUAUUCCUAUUGAAUGUUCAAGUGCUACGGCCAGGCAUCGAAUGCCUGCACGGAACCUUCCUAUUGAAUGGUUACUCUAGAGAUCAACGCACCGCGAGACAUUUUUAUGGAAUUUGUUUGAUUCCCCUUCUACAAUUAGAUUAAUUUUUCAUGGCAUAUAUUACUACUAUUAAAUUAUUUGUUUAUUGUCGGGCCUGCUGCAUGUGUGGUAUAUAUGACUUGCUUCUCACCAUUGUUCUCAAACUAUUAUUCCUAUCGAAUCUUUCUAUCGAAAUAUAUUUUAAUUACUUGAUUGUUGUUUGUGUACCAUAACUUCUGUAUAGAAAAAUUCCAUGUUUGUAGAUAAUGUCUUUUGUAUAGAAAAAUAGCCCAAUUAGAUCCAUCACCAUCUUUUGCUUAUGUAGUUGAACAAGUUGCAAUGUUGAACAAAACUUUAAGUGAAAUUAGACCAGGAAAAGGAAUUGUGGAACAUUAAGGCAAGGGUAACCAGAUUGUGGAAUGCAACCUUACUCAGUAGUGGCGAACAAUUAAGUCUUGACAUGAUCCUUAUUGAUCAAAAGGUAUGAUAGAUGUUCACUUUGAUUGCAUUAUUGGUAUAAUUUUUGGUUUACAAAUUAUUAAUGAUGAUGCAAAAUUAGGGAACCAUGAUCCACGGUGUUAUCAAUAAGCCCUAUAUGAAAAAGUUCAAACCAUUGAUUGAAGAAGGCAAUGUGUACAUAAUUGCAAAUGUCAGAAUCACACCAGAACCACAGAAGUAUCGGCCAGUGGAAAAUGACAGGAUAGUCAACUUCUUACCCACAACUGCACUAAAAACGAUCAAAGAUACUGAAGACAUUCCAAAGUAUAGUUUUAACUUCAUGAGCACGGAUAUGCUUUCAGCAAGAAUAAAUGUGGACAUGUACCUAUUAGGUAAAACAUUACUGGCUUUUCAAUUUUUACACUUCCACUCAUUAAAUGACCAUCUAAUAAUAAUACAUAUUUAUGUUUCAUAGAUGUUAUAGGUAUCUCAGCUCACAUUGGACCGAUAGAAGAAACAAGGACAAACUUCGGAUUUACUAAAAUCCGUGAUAUUGUGCUCCUGAUCGAGUAAUUCUCUUUUCUUUUGUAGAAAACAACUACAAAACUUUCAACAUUUACAUGUAUGUUAUAGAACUUCUGUUGAACUAAAAAAUAUCUUCUACAGUGCCCCUACAAAUAAUUAAUUUCGUAGUUGGAUAUUUAAAAUAUUUAUUAUUCACUUUUAAAUUUGUGGCCAUGAAGUUAAAGUUAGAUUUUGGGGAGACAAAGUUGAGGAAGUUGAUGAUAAGACAAAAUCCCAUGUCAUUGCAAUAACAUCUACAACUGUGAGUAAAUUUGGCAGUAAGUCUUCAUUCAAUAUGAGUUAUUCAAUAUUAGUCAUUCAACAAACUAACCUCGUAAGAAAAAUAAAUAAUUGAUGUUUUAUCAGGGUAUUCUCUAUCGUCAACCAAUGCAACAAAACUUUAUGUAGAUCUACCUAUUCCUGAAACUAAGGAUGCACAUGAUAGGUGAGAAAAAUUAGAUAUUGUUUUUCUAUUUUAAUCUAUGUAGCAUGCACUCUAACAUGAUACAUUCUUUCAUAUGAUAAAAAAAUGUUAGUUCAAUUGAAAAUAUUGUCAAAGAGAUUCAUAUUGAGGACCAUCUAAAAGGGACAUUGGAAGACCAAAUGCAGUACAAUAGAAGAACUUUAGAAGAAUUAAAUUUCAUAUUAUUUGAAACAUCAAAUCAGGUAUGGAUUAGUAUGUUCAUUGUACACUAUACUAUUUAAAGACUUACAUACAUAAUGAUGGUAUUGUUCCUACUUUCAGGAUGAGGUAUUUACUAUUGAAGCAACAAUAAAUGAAAUUAAUGCAACAUAUGGUUGGUUGUCACACCCGAUUUUAAGGACAAAAUUGAGUGCAUUAAAUACAUGUGCACCAGGAUCAAGUUACACACAUCCUAUGAGUACCGUCCUUCUUUGGCACAAAGAUAACCGGUGCUCCCCAUGGUGAUGAACUAGGCCGAAUAAACUAUUUUGCUGAUAAUUCCUCUAGUUGUUGUUUCAAUUCUUUUAAUUGUUCAACCAACAUUCUAUAAGGACGUUUGGAGAUAGGUGCAGUACCAGGUAAAAGAUCAAUAGCAAAUUCAAUGUCGCGGUCAGGUGGCAUACCUGGUAAAUCGUCGGGGAACACAUCCGGAUAGUCACACACCACUUUGAUAUCUUCCAAGGAUUUUCCAGCCAACUGAUUAACUGCACAAUCUGCUGCUGAGGGUAGAGUAGCUACAAACUCCACUUUCUCUCCAUCAGGACCUGUUAGCAGAACUGUCCUCUUGGCACACUGAAUCGUUGCAUCAAAAGCGGCUAACCACCUCAUCCCCAGAAUUACAUCGAUUCCACUGGACUCAAGGACGAUAAGAUCAGCCGGAAACUCUAUACCCAUUAUUCUCAGUUUAACUUGUGGACAGAUGUAUUGAGCCUUCAUUGACCCCCCAGGUGAACUCACUAGCAUAUGACGCCUCAUGGUAUGCAUGGGUAAAUUAUGCUUUGCUACAUAAUGACUAGUGACAAAAGAAUGCGAUGCUCCAGAGUCAAAUAAAACUGAUGCGGGGGCAGAGUUGACAAAGAACAUACCAAGCACUACAUCUGGAGCCUCCUUAGCAGUCUCGGCUUCCAUGUGGUUCACCUUGCCACAAACAAAGCUUUGCUGCCCCUGAUUGCCUUGUGGGGUCUGGUUCCCAUUCCUCGGUUGCUGCAUCUGAUUCUGCCGAGGAGCACUGCUGUUCUGCACGGGGGUAGCUGGCCCACCUCUCUUAGGACAAGAGCUGGCAUAGUGACCAACCUCGCCACACUUGAAGCAGGUAGGACCCACUGGAGCAUUGGGCCUUGUUGGAGUGCCAGUAGGGGUCAUCUGGCGGUUCUGCGUAAAGCUUGGGCGCGGAGUCUGCAUAGUCUGCAUCCCUGGAUGCUGGAACUGAGGGCUAGGGCGCUGGAAUGACUGCUGAGCAGGGCGCGGAAAUGAGUGCUGCCAAAAAUUCCCACUCGGGCCCCCUGCGCGGAACGGCGUCCCUUGCUGUGGAGCAAAGCGAGGGCGGGUGUUGCUUCCUGAAGACUACUGGGAAUUGAAUUUCCUCUUCAUCUCCCCGAGCUCGUUCCUCUUGUGUUCCAGGCCAAUUGCCUUGUCUAGCAUCUUCUGGAAACUGGGGAAGGUGUGCGACAUAAGCUGAUAUUGGAGUGGUCCAAUCAACCCAUCCAAGAAUAGCUCCUGCUUCUGCUCAUCAUCAGCAACAUCUUCGGGAGCAUAUCGGGACAACUGGACAAACUUGUCCCUGUACUCUGCCACUGUCAUGUUCCCCUGCUUGAGAGCAAGGAACUCCUUCUUCUUAAGCUUCAUCAAUCCGGAAGGAAUAUGAUGACUUCUGAAGCUAGUCCUGAAUUCAUCCCAGGUGAUGCCAUUAGCAUUGGCAUGGGUGGUGGUGUAAGCAUCCCACCAAUCAGCAGCUGGCCCUUCCAGGCGUCCUGAAGCAUACAGGACCUUCUCCCUGUCAGUACAUUGGGCGAUAUCCAGCAUCUUCUCCACUGUUUUCAGCCAAUCAUCAGCAUCUAAUGGAUCCGGAGAAUGUGAAAACGUCGGGGGCUUGUGGCUCAUGAACUCCCUAUGCCUGUCCCUUGGCGGCGGCUGCUGCUGGUUGUUGUUGUUGUUAUUGUUCAGCUGAGCUUGUAAAGCUGCCACGGUGUUGGUCAGUCCGGCGAGAAGCUGAGUCUGAGCUGCUAGAAACUGCUCCAUCCCUGCAGGUGCUUGUUGGUUCUGUUGCGGAGCGGUGUUGGGAUUGCUGCUGUUGUCCCUGUGGCGUGGCACUGUGGGACGGUCAACUCCUGAUCCGGACCUGGUGUUUACCAUCUGAGCGUUAGAGACAAUGGAUUUAGAUAGAUGUGUGAAAGAAUAACUGAGAAAGAUAAAGCGACCAGAUGUAAAAGUAACACAGAUUCUGUUAGCUCCAUUUAAUUAGGUGUGGUCGUCAGAAGAAGUGUCCAUAAAUUCUGAACAAUUACCAAGUCGUAACUUAUUAAAUUUGUAAACCAACCCAACUGGAAUCAUCUCAAUCGGACUUCUGGAUCUCGAGUUACAAAAUUAACAAGCUGACAGUGUCGGUCGAUAGGUUCAGAUUCUGAGUGCUUUACUAAUUCGCAUACACCUCCCAGACAGAUACACCAAAAAUUCUGAAAAAUUUACAGAUAGUACUCCACGAAAUUCUGAAACUAACCCCACUGGUUUCAUGUCAUUUGGACUUCUGUAGCUAGAGAUAUAAAUAAAAAAGUACUGGCGUGUCAGUUAAUGUCGAGAACAGAAUUGAAUGUCGCUUAGCUUGCGUGAUGGAUAGAUUUAGACAGAUGGUAGAUCAUGAUUAAGGAAGAUUAAAUACUGAUUUAGAACAGAAAUAAAACCCAACUAAGCACUUUAUUUAUUAAGACCAGUAUCGUGUGGCAAUUGCCCCACAUACCGCACUCAUUACAAAAUCCAACUCAAACAUGUAGCACAAAACCAAUCAUCUAAGCACACUUUAACUAACACACUCGAACGACGUCUAACGAUUACAAGAAUUUAAACUAAAACACUCCUAAUUUCCUAGAGGUCUUCUGCGGCGGUGCCGGGCGAGUCGUAGCGGGGACGCUUAGGCGACGGCGACGAAGCGGGAUGAACAGCAAACUCCUGCGGCGGCGGUGCUCCCGUCGCGGCAGCCAUAUUCGCAUCCCUCUCCCACCGGAGUUCCUGAACCUCCUGUUGAAGCUCCUGGAUGUGGUUGUUUGCUUCAUUCAAUGCGGUGAGAGCUGCCGACGUGUACUUGCGGAGGAAGUCUGUAGCCAUGUCAACCCCAUCGUUAGUAGCGAUGAAGGUUCUUGCUUCCCCACUAGCUCGGUAAGGAAGGAACCGAUGGUAAGUGUGCUGCAAUCGCGGCCGUUCCUUGUGGGAGACGACCUCAAGUGCCCUCCUGGCGGCCUCGGCAAUGCCGGAUUCCAUGGUCCUCCUUAUGGUCACAUCAUGGUGAAAAGCCUUCACCUCCCAUCCUCCCUCGUGCUCCUCACGAAGGACAACCUUCACCUCCCAAAAAGUGGGAUAGCGAGGGUGGGUGAACCGGGAGCACUUGUAGAGUGGCCUCAUGCCGUACCCCAAGCGGUGACAAGUCCACCUGAGUAUGUCGGCCAUGUGCACUCCUUGGCCAUAAUCUUCCUUCACCCAUUUGAUCCAUGUCUCGGGCUCGGGAUCUGCUUCGGGCUCAUCAUCCGUCAAGUCGACGACCGGUACGGGCGUCGGGGCUGGUGCAGGAGCGGGCGCCGGUGCUGGCGACGGUGCUGGUGACGGCGUGGUCUCCUGCUCCACGGUCACGGCGUCCCCGUCAGAGUCAUCCCCCGGAUGCUGGAAGAUCUCUUCCUCUUCUUCCUCGUCCCAAGGCUCCAUGGGGGCGUACGACGGCGCGAUGCCAUGACGCGGCGGACGGGUGCUCUUGCGUGCGGUCAACCGGGUGCGAGCCAUCUAACAGAAAGAAAGAAGAAAAUUUUAGAAUAAAAUUUUGAACAAAGCUAGAUAAUAAAAUAGCAAUAAGGAUGAGACAAAUCAAGUUUAAGAAUAAUUAAGUAGAUUUAAAUUAAGAAAGGUAGGAAUGGCUACUAGAUUAUUAUAAUCCUUAAAUACGACCAUUUUCUAACUAGGCUAACGUCCUACAGUCAACACGGCUCUGGUACCACUUUUGUCACACCCGAUUUUAAGGACAAAAUCGAGUGCAUUAAAUACAUGUGCGCCAGGAUCAAGUUACACACAUGUACGACAAUAGUGAAUAGUAAAGCCAGUGCUAAAUCGAAUAAAGAGAGUAUUAACCAUUAUUACAUGACCGAAUGUCUCAAAUAAACCACAAAGUCUAAUUAUUACGCAGCGGAACUCCAAAGAUGACGACGACUCCAUAGGCAGCUGACUGAAGAAACGUACGCCUAGAACUCCUCGAAGUCGUGGAAGUACUCCUCUUCCCAAUUAACUUGGUCUGAACAGCGGUUUUGCAAGGGUGAGUACACUUAUGGUUGGUACUCAACAAGUCGUGGGAAGUAGUGUAGUGUAAGGCUAAUUCAAGGUAUGGCUAAGGCGUAAAUAGCAUUCGCUUUUAAUUAAGUUGGUCAAAUUUUAUUAGCAUUUACUAAGUAUAAGUUCAUACCACCCGAAAUUAAACAUGAACAUAAAGUAAACCACAUGUGCAUGAAAUGAUAACAAAUUAAAUCCAUCUUCCGAUAAUAUUAUCAUGUGAGGGUCCAGGCCGCUCUUAACCGUGAGCACGGCUGAUUGAUCAGUUUAACACUCUGCAGAGGUGGCACAUCUUUACCCACAAGUCGCGUAAAAGUUCAAAAGAACUUUGGACCCAACCAUGCGGUGUUUGCAAGGCACCAUACCACACUUCCGAGGUGUGAUUGCAUAGGGACGCUACGAGGCCUUUACAAAGAUUCAUUAAUCAGUGGUAACCCGCUAAGGUUUCGGUGUCUGGCGUGCACCACCCAUCCCAGGUAAAAUGCAACGACUCAGUCCCCCCCCUUGAAUCAUCACGAGUAAGGUCACCCCAGACUAAGGUUUCUAAUUAAUCAGCCAAGACCAGAGCUAUUUAGUCUUGUGGUAGCACUGUUUUCCUGGGUGGUCGCUCCAUGUUCUGAUUAACAAAUAAUGAUCUUGUCUUAAUGAAAGGUAUAACAGAAAUAAGGCAAGAUUAAGCAUUGUUUUUAGUUAAACCACCAUGUACCAAGUAAGCACUAAGCAUGAGCUACCCAACAUAAAGUAAACCGGUUGGUCAAGGCAAAGGUAAAACAAUCUAGGCCAACCUUAAUUGGGACCCAUCAAUUUAAUCUUAAUAUGUGCACAGCAUAAAUGUUGAGUACGAGAAAGUAAAGGUGUAUAGGACAAAAAGGUAGUGAUCAAGGACACGACUUGCCUUCUUGGCCUUGCUCCUGCUGUUCGUACUCCUCGAAGGCUUGAUCGGCAACUCCCUCGAACUGCGGGGCGUCUACACGCAUCACACGAGCACAUACAAGCAAACAUGGGCAAAAGUAAGAAAACAGUAUACCAAACAUAGUCAAACAGAGAAAACAAGCUUGAAAAGAUGAUCUACGCUUUAAAACGAACACGCGGAUAUAAAGAACGCGAAAAACGGAGUUAAGAUGCAAAAGAUAUGAUUAAAACAAAAUCCAGGGACUUUUCUGUAAGAAAAACAAAACUUUUAGGGCCUAUCCGCGAAAACCGAGGGCUUAUACGUAAUUAUGCGUAUAAACCGAGGGUCUGAUGCGUAAAAACAUCAAACCCGGACGGCGGGUUGAUUUCUGGAAAGGUCAAGGGUUAAACCGAAAAAUGCGAGGGCAGAUCUGUAAAUACUUUCAACGCGAUCUGGACCGCGGGUUGAUUUGCGAAAAAGGCGGGGGCUAAAGUGCAAAAACUGCACGGCGCGGCUCGGUUGACCGGUACGCGAUCUUGAUUGACUCGCGUCCGGCCGUCGGAUUAAGAUCCGACGGUCGCGGUGAUCCGCGACAUCGCGGCGGCGGCGGCGAGCGGCGGCGAGCGGCGGCAAGCGGCGGCGGGUCGCCGGAGUUAGGCAAAAUAGCGCCACGAGGCACGGUUUAACGCGCGGGUUGCACCAAAAAAGAGAGGGGAACACGUCGAUCCCGUUUUGGGGGUUCUUGUCGACGGGGGCUCACCGGCGACGGCGAACGGCGGCGAGGAAGAGGCGGCGGCGCUAGGAGCUCGGGCGGCUAGGGUUUCGGGGAGCUGCGGCGCUGGUUUUGGGCGGAGGAGACUGGGAGGAGGCGGCGGCUUUUAUAGGGCUUGGAGAUAGAGCCGGCGCGGGUUCAAAUCCCCCGGAGGAGUCGGAGCGGAUGGAGUCCGGGGCGGAGACGGCGCGCGGCGGUUGCGGAGUUCUGACCGGAUUCGGCCGGAGGUGGGAGACGAUGGGUGGGGUCCACCCGUCAGUGGCGGAGGGGAGCGGUAGACGGGCCGGCGCGACCGUGGGCUGGCGCGCGCUCGUGGGCUGCGGGGAGCGGGAGAGAAGCGGCGAGCGGGCGCUGGCGGAGCAGGCCGAGCGGAGGUAGAGCUGGGCCGCGGAGAAAAAGGAGGAGGCCGGCGGGCUGCUUCGCAGGCCGGUAAGGAUGAGGCGGCCGGGCCGAAGAAGAAAAAGAAAAGGAGGGACAAGGAGCUUUCGGCCGAGGGAAAAGAAGAAGAAAAAGAAAAGGAAGAAGAAAAGGGAAAAGGUUUUGGAAUUUGAAUUUAAAUCUGAAAUUCAAAAUUUGAUUCAAACUCAAGCAACCAAAAAUUAUGCUCCAGCAUGAAUGCACAAAUAAUUCCUAUGAUGAAUUAAUUGAAUUAAAGAAAAUGAAUUUAAAUGCCUAGAAAUUAAAUAACACCCUAAUUUGAGCAAAUUUUAAUGAAUUUGAAUUAUUGAAAUUUUGGGUGUUACAUUGGUACUACAUCUCAUGUAGUAGAGGCGAUUGUAAGAAGCAACUUGAAAAGAAGUUUGAUCACUACUAUUGCAAUAAAUGUGACAAGAGAGCCGAACCUAAAGCCCAGUAAAUUAUUUAGUAGUUUACAAUCUUAUUAUAAUACUUCUAUUUCUAAUAGGAGAAUAAUAUUUUCAGAUUCAAAUUAAGCUUCAAAUAAGUGAUCCAACAACAAGUGCAACUUGUGUACUUUUGACAAGGAAGCAGAAAUGAUAAUUAAUGAAUGAGCAGAUUCGAUGAUCACCUCAGUUGAUCAUGAUAAUAAGUAGCUACCAAAAUCAAUUCAGGAAAUAUGUGAAGAAACAUUGAUUUCUCAAUUCAGAUUGACCGAGUACAACUUGACAAGUUUUAGACCUGAUUAUACUGUUUCAAAGAUAUUUUUUCCAAAAGAAAAGGGCAGUUCAAGAAUUGGUAUGGAAAGUGUAAAAAAGGUAACACUUUAUUAUUAAUUUUUUAUUGCACUUUUUUCUUUUGAAUCCGUAAUACUUAAUAAUUUUACUAUAUCAAUGAAACAAAUUCUAACCUAAAUUUAUUUUCUUUUUUAUUAUUUGUAGGAAGUAGAAGACAACUCAGACAAAUGCUACACGAUAACUACCGAGAAUGAAGAGGUAGACACUGAUGACUCUUUUACCGAGAAAGUAACAUUCGUAGAAGAAGCCAUAAGGACUGGGGAAAGAUUGGCUAGAAAAGUAUACUCACUUCCAUGUCAGUGUUCAUUCUAUUUACAAUACAUGCAAAAAAAAUAUUAUUCAUGCAAAAUUGCAGGUCUACUAAGCAUUAAAGGAAUAGCGGAUAGUGCAAUAUGUAAUCUGAGCAGCAUGCAUUACAAAGUGCUCUACUGCAAUUAAAUUAAAAAACAUGAUAUAUGUUGAAUUCUUAGACUUUAUUAUUAUACUUUUCUACGUGACAAUUCACAAUUUUUUAGAAAAAAGAAGAUCCCAGAAGAAGUGACCAUGAAAAAAGGUCUAUGACCAGCAAUAAGAAAAAAUGCAAGCAUAGAAACAAAUCCGUAGAAAACAUAGAAAAUAAGGUACUCCAUAAACAAAAGUAUUCUCUUAUAUUUUUAUUAAAUAUUUUUUUAACACUUGACAAGUUCUUUUUUAGGAUCAAUAUAUCAGCAAUUCAGAUGUCAUUGGAGAUGAAACCUUAGUUCAUCCAAAAGGUCAAAAAAAAACAUCUGAAGAAAGGUGUUUGGCUGAAAAGGAAAAGCAAAAAAGUGGUAAUGCAGACAAACACAUGCAGAAAAAUAUAAAAACAUGUCAUAGGGAGGCAGACCAAUCUUGCAAGGAGGUAUAGACGAAACGUGAUACACGACCUGCCUACCUUGUCGUGGAUACCCCAAGAAGAUGUCAUAGAGGUGCAGACCAAGCUAGCAAGGAGGUCGAAACGUGAUACACGGCCUGCCUACCUUGCCGUGGAUAUUAGCCCUGAGAUCAUUCUACUGUUCAAGGAAUAACACUCAAUGCUGCUGCUGCUGCUGACCUGGCUCCAUAAAGUUAUACUCCUCUAGGUGCUUGCACUAACUUUAUCUGAAGUAUUAUUCUCUCUGCACUGUAUAUAUGGUUAUGGAGUUUGCUGGAGUAUCCGGGGCGAAGAACCUACAUAAUACGUCUUGGAACUAAUUGACAUUGAUUCACAGACAAACUCUACAAGGUGCUGUUCUUGCCAUUUUAGAGCAUCCAAAGGACUAUAAAUAACAUAGUUUACCAUAUACCAUAUACCAUAUACCAUAAUAUGUUAGCUAAAAUAAGAGCAUACACAUGUUGCAGGAGUCCAAAAGCACCGGUUGAGGACCAGGUACAUUGAAUUACUAGAAAAAGACAGGGGACAAGGUUUAGGUAACCACAUGAAACAUUUGAAUUUAUUGUACUAUGAACACUUAGUUACCAUGCCAGGAGCACAUAGUUAACACUAACAUUUAGCCACUUUAGAUCAUCCCGAAUCACCAAUGACCCUCAAUAGUGACAAAUUUUGGUUUAAAUGCCAUCACCAAUGAUCCUCAAUAGUGACGUAUUUAGGUUUAAAUCCCGUCACUAAUAACCCUCAAUAGUGACCUGUUUUGGUUUAAAUCUCAUUACCACUGAUCCUCAAUAGUGAUGUGUUUUAGCAAAACAUGUUAUCAAUGACUUGUCAUUGGUGACGUGUUAAAACGCGUUAUCUCAAUGGCAAAUCAUUGGUGACGUGUUAUCUCAAUGUUAUCAAUGUUCUAUUCUUUUCAACAAUACCAGCUCGUUCCUCCGUUUUUAUUCCACCAAUACAAGCACCACCUUGUAACAUUUCCUAUGUUUUUUUUCCUUUUGUCUGUUUUCUCACUACAUGCGUUGCUCUUUCAUGCAUUUUUUUCCAUUCCUGUAUUCCAAAUAGGUCUACAUGAACACAAAAUGAACUAGGGGACAGAAAAAGCCAGUGAAGCCAAUUUUGAGCUUCACCAGCUACUUGCUACAUAAAGUGUGCUAUAGUGACGUGUUUUAGCAAAACAUGUUAUCAAUGACUUGUCAUUGGUGACGUGUUAAAACGCGUUAUCUCACUGGCAAAUCAUUGGUGACGUGUUUUAAAAAAACAUGUCACCGUGAGAGUCAUUGGUGAAGGGUAAUUAAAAUGCGUCACUAAUGUUGUAGCAUUAGUUAUGAUAAUUUAGUAACGCAAAAAUCUACCAUCAGUAUUGAGCUUUAGAGCCAUCGCUAAUGUGGGUUUCUUACAUAGUGAUGCAAGCUCUACAAGGUGCUGUUGCUGCCAUUUUAAAGCAUCCCAUGACUACAUGUUAAUAACAUAGUUUACCAUAUAUCAUAAAAAUAUUAGUUACAAUAAGCACAUACGCAUGUGGAAGAGUCCGAAUGCACCGGUUGAGGACUAAACACAUUGAAUUACUAGAACCAAAUGUAUGUUUAGAACAAAGACAGGGGUCAAGGUUUGGGUAACCGCAUUAAAAACAUUGGAUUUUACUGUACAUGAACACUUAGUUACCAUUACCAUGCCUUGAGCACCUAGUUACAACAAACAUUAAUUUAGCCACUUUAGAGCUUCCAGAAUCGCUAUAAAUAAUAUACCUACGCCGUACCAUGAAAACAUCAAGAAGAGAGACGGAUACAUGGACCACCAUCAAGCGAGUAGUGACAGCACGCACAAGAAUACCCGGAACCUGUUAGCUUGUCUGUAGUGAUCUGUUUUCUUCCCCAUAAAAUCCAUGAGUAUUGCCACAAAUAAUGAAAGAGGCUGACCAAGCUAGCAAGGAGGUAGAGCAAACGUGAUACACGGCCUGCCAAGAUUGCCCUGGAUACGCCAAUAAGAGCGACAGAUACAUGGAUCACACCAAUAUGGUGAAACGUAUAUUCAUCACACAAGCAAAGCUGGUCAGUUUAUCCAUGGUCAAAUUGUGGUCUUUGUUUUCACUUGAGAGCUAAUUGAGGCACUAUAAUAUGGGCAGGCCUAUCUUCAACAGACAUGACAGCUACAGGGAACUUGACAUAAUUUGCUGGGCCGCCUGUGCACAAUUAUUUGUUUUAUUGUCCUUGCAUAGAAUGCUAAAAUACUCUUUACAAAAUGUUGGAUCUAAUAUUUGAAAUAUAGAGUAGUAAUCAUAUAUUGAUCAACAACUUGAAAUUAUCUGUACAUUCUCGGUGAAGCUGUUGAACUAAUUUUUGCAAAUUAUUAAUUCAUCUCAUUACGUAAAGAAAAAAGUAAGUGGAUAAGAUAUUUCGUGGACCACAUCACUGCAAACAUGUCAUGGAGAGACAGACCAAGGAGGCAGGACGUGAUACACGACUUACCCUAGGUUGCCGUGGAACCGCCAAGAAGAGAUACAGAUACAUGGACCACACCAUCUUGGGAGUAGUGACAGCAUAUAUGCAGAAGAAUACCCCGUGCCUAUUUGCAUGCAUGUCUCAAGUGAUCUGUUUUCUUCAGAAAAUACAUGAGCAUUGCCAGAAAGAAUGGCAAGAGACAAACAUGUCAUAGAGACUUGCAUGUCUUGCCUUGGAUACGCCAAGAAGAGGGACACAUACAUGGAUAACACAAAUCUAGUGACACGUAUAUUCAUCACAAAGGCAAAUCUGAUAAUUUUAUCCAUGGAGCAGACCAAGGAGAAAUUGAUGACGGACAUGUGAUCUCUGUAUUCAGUUGAAAGCUAAUUGAGCUACACUAAUAUGAGCAGGACUAUAUUCAAGAGACUUGUUGAGAGCUACAGGGAACUUGUAAUAAUUUGCUGGGCGGCCUGCGCACAAUGAUUUGUUAUACAUAGUUGAAAUAUUUCAAGAAUUUAUCAACCUCAUACUCUGAAACCCUUGGUGCAAUGUACUCUGCUUUCCGAGGUAGACUGUUCACGUAAAAUGAGGUCAUGCGUAAGACGGAAUCGGAUUGGAUUCACAGGGAAUCAGAUUUGGAUAGCACCUUUUAGCAGGUUUUUAGUCAAAUGCAAAUUCGGAUCCACAUGUGGUUGAAUGCGAGUUCAAAAUUCUACUUGGAUAUCCAUUUAAUUUAGGUGAUAGCAAUUAGCACAAAAUGUUGGAUGAACAAAAUCAUAGUUAGACAUACAAUUACAUGUAUGGUUAAAGUAUAAUACAAUACACCAAGAUUAUUCCUUGAAAAUAUUUCUUAAAAAUAUUAUAAUAAAUGAAUAAAUAUAAUUGUGGCCACCAACAAAUAGUCGGUGGUCGCUAAGUUGGAGCCAUUUCUGGUUACUAAUGCGGCCUUCUCCUCGACCAGCGACGACAGCUGAGCUUGUUCCUUCUGACACUAAAUCAUCAGAGUCUUCCCUCCACUACUAUAGAAUGCACCUUUAGCACCAAUUGGGAAAUCCCCUUCAGUAUUGGAUGCUGCAACCAGUGCUAUAUAUCAAAAUGGAGACUAAAAGCCUCGGUCUUGGGUACCGGUUGCAUAACGCAUUACUAAAGGAGGCAAAAGAGAAAUGUAACAAAAAAAAUAUUUUGAAUUCCAAGAAUGUUUCACUAUUCAAGAUGACUAGCUGAGAGUCAACAGACAAGAUACUAGGAAUGUGGGUGCUUGAAUGCAUUUGUACAGAGGUCAUACUAUUUACAAACUCUUCUAUGUUUCCAUAUGACUACCUACUUCAAUGUCACGCGAGCCAUUCAGCUGGACACAUGGCACACUAGCUUGCAUGUCGAAUCCAUGAUUAAUUAUUUGCACUUGUGAUCUCUUACCAGUAUUUGUCCAGACUAGAAACGUGCAACACAUUUUUAGGAUAUGGACACGCAUAUAUUUGGACUAGUAUACAGGUCACCUUUGGAUGCGUACAAGGAUGACCGGGAGGGACUAAUGGAUACAAGGAAGGGACCAUCAGGAUUAAUAUUGACAUAUGCCACAUGACAAUCUUCAUUGUCAUGCAAUCCCUAUCAACAAUCAUGGAAUCCCUAGUGUACUAAUCCCUGGAGGGUUGUGUGGAAAUUUAUUUUACCUUGCGGUGAAAAUCUCAUGAGCAGUCAUUAGUUAAGCUGACUAGCUGAGAUAUAAUAGACAAGCUAGUAAGAUUGGGAGCAUCAAUGCAUCCAUACAGGGUCACAAUAUCCUUUCCAUUCACUUUUAUAUAUAACCCUACGAAUACAAGUCCAACGAAAUGCGGGCCUUUCGAUCAAGAUAAAUUAAAUGGCCCACUUGUAUUUCUAAUCCAGGAUUAACUAUGCCCUCUGUUCAUCUCUUGCAAGCACGUGCAACACAUUUUCACGAUAUGGACAUGCAUGGAGGUUAUUAUACUGUUUGGACAAACUCUGAUGUGCCAUGACCUAAAUGCUUAGGGCCUGUUUGGUUUGAGUUGCUUAUUAUAAGCAACUUAAAGUUGCUUAAAGUUGCUUAUUUGAAGUUGCUUAUUUUUAGUCUAAACUGUUUGGAUACCCUUGCUUAUGAGCAUUGAAUGAGUUGGACAUUGUCAAAUUUGCCCCAUGUGUUGCUACCCCUCCAAUUUGCCUCCCCACCCUUCUUCUUCCUGCACACGUCCGAUCCCGGGGGCCGACGGCGGGCAGGGAGCAGCAGCAGCUGGCCAGGGCGGCGGUGGGGCGGGAGCGGCGGCGCACACCAGCACGCGCUCGCACGCCAGGUGCUAGGGCGCGGCGAGGCAGUCGUCGUAGCCCACCGGGAGCGGGUGCUCGGGCGCGAGGCGGUACUCGACGGAGAUGCCGAGCGUCGGGCGCGCGGCGGCGAGCGCGUUGAGGAAGCGAUGGUAGUGCGGCGACGUCGCGGACUCCGCCACGAAGCCGCCGCCGUGGACGUACACCACCACGGGCAGCUUCGUCUUGCCGUCGGCGGCCGCGGCCGCGGCCUGGGGUGGCAGGUAGAGGCGGACGGAGCAGGAGCCGAGGUCGACGUCCCUGGAGUCGACGCCCGUGGCGGCGUCCAGGCUGGGCCCGACCGGCGGCGGCACGAGCGGGCGCUCGAUGCGGCCGCUCUUGUAAAUCCGACGGGUCUGUGCGGAGGCGGGCGGCGGGCGGGAGCGGCGGGUGGGAGCGGCGGCAGGUGGUGCGGAGGCCGGCGGCGGCGGGUGGCGCGGAGGAAGGGGAGCUGGUGAGUGGUGACAGGGGAGGGGGGGAGAGAGAGGGGGGGUAGGGUGCAUUGAAUGAGGGCAGGAGGUGUAAAGUGCACCUUUUAGUCCCCAUGAGCAACCAUAAGCAGCCCAAGAGUUGCUUAUUUGCUUAUAAUAAGCAACCUCAUAAGCAAGAGUGAUUGGUUUCAUAAGCAACUUAUUUGCUUAUUUUAAGUUGCUUAUGCAUAAGCAUGUGAAACCAAGCAGGUCCUUAACCUAUGGUUGUGGCACCACACAGUACAUAGUAUUUAAUAAUGCUAUUCGUUUGGUAUGUGCACAAGGGCACGCAUGAAAUGUCUGGCCCACGGUAAACAAGUACGGACGCUGCAAAUAAUCUACUCUGCUCGUCCAGUCCCUAGCCUAUAAAUAGAUGCCAUGCUAGCUCUUGUUGUGCUCACAAUUAAUCCUGACUACACACGAGCUUCUCUCCCUGGCCAAGACACAAUCAUAGUAUGAUGAAGAACAUGGCACUAGCCGGCAAUGGUAUGAAGAACUUAAUCCUCGCUGUUCUCUUACUGUGUCUAGUUAUAGGGCAGAUACAAGUGGAAGCUAAGAGCUGCUGCCCAUCCAUUACUGCAAGAAAUAUCUACAAUGCCUGCCGUAUCACGGGUACAUCCCGUCCAACGUGUGCAAAACUGUCAGGCUGCAAAAUUAUCAGCGGGGACAAAUGCAAGCCCCCUAACGACCACCUCACCCUUGACCCGGACACUGGUAAAUAAUAAAUUUAUCUCACUUGAUUUCUUCGUGUUUUGAGUCGUUAAUGUAUUUUCCAUCUGAUGAAACGUAUUGGUUUUGCAUUGAAGAGGAAGUUAAUGUGCUUAACUUCUGCAAGUUGGGGUGUGCGUCGUCUGUGUGCAACAACAUCAACGCUGGUAAGCACCUUUUGCUCAGACGGAGAAAACAAUAAUCAUUAAUUAGCGGCAGCUAGAAUCCUAUAAUCUAAUAUAUUUAUAUAUAUAUAUAAUUUUAUCAGCUCUGGGAAAUGAAGAGGCGAACGAUGCCGUUGAGAGUUGCGACCAAGCCUGCUCUAGCUUCUGCAACGUGCACGUUGGCGCUGCCACCGUGGUUGCUUAAGCAAAUGCAUCCAACUGGAUCGUCCUUGUGCUAAAUAAUUGGAUAUCGUAUCCACUUAAAGCUGCCUUGUGUAGUACGUUUUUGUUUGUGUCUCUCUUUAUAUUCCAAUAAGGUCGGUGAUCUUGAUGCCACACACUCAGACGUGUGUUCAUCUCCAGAUACUACUCCAUGCUACCUGCCCUUUGUGUUUUGUUCAAUAACUGGGUAUCAUAUCCCAGCCAGUGUGCCAUCUGUUUUGUGUUUAUUUCCUUCUAGUUUCAAAGGGGUUAUCAUGAUGUUACCUUCUUUCGAUAUGGUGCUUUGCAUGACUACUGUUGUAUGGUACCAUCUUGUUGGCCAAUAAAUACAUCUUAUCCUAUGACCCUUUGCUAUGACCCUUUGCAAAUAAGUACAAGAUUGUUAAAUACUCGGUAUAAAUUGACUACUGCUGUGAGUUCCCUUUCAGCUUAUCGUAGGCAUACAUUAUUGCUAGCACGGUGAAGACAACCAACACGAAUGGUCAAGUAAACGUACCGGUACUUUUGUAUACCAACACCCUUGCUUAAAUGUACCGGUGUUACUCCCCACUAGCACAUAUAUUCUUAUAUGCUAGCCGGCUUGAAAAUUAACCGAUUAAAAUAAUUAUUUCAAGACAGAAAUAACUUAUCGGCUUCUCGAAGCAUGUGUAAUGUGAAUUCAAGGACUUGAUGGAAGUUGAAUCGCUUAAUCUAGAUUGCUUUCAGGAUUUUGGGUAACUAAAUUUAACAUUUGCACAUACAAAUGUUAAUGUACAAAUAUUAAAUAUAGUUACCCAAGCAGAAUAUGAAGAUACUCUAUAGUAUAUAUAUACUAUAUAAAUCUAGUUAACAUUUAGUCUAAAUGUUAAAUCUAGUUACCUAAAAUCCUGAAAGCAAAAUGUAUAAAUAUAUAUCUUUUAAGGAAUCCCAAAGCAAGAGUUCAGUGGCAUUCUAUAGUCCCAUGCUGCUAGUUUGAGUUGGUCGAAGCCAACUUAAAUAGGAGAGCUCUCUCACUUCUCUAAAUACGUAACUGAAGGAGAGAAGGGGGCUUGGUUACACAACGCACGCACGCACGCAUAUUUGCGUUCUUUUCGCGUAACCAACCGCGUGACUUGAAACUUGCGACGUAGCGUGCUGCCAAGUCAAGUUGAUAUAACCUUUUUGCCGUAGGCGUGUAAUCUUUUGACAACGGUCAUUGGAGGUGAUAAGCACGCAGUCAAUACCUUAAUCCUGAG